CAGAGGAUCCAGCAAGUGGUGCAGCAGACAUCGAGGCUGAACCAGGCCAUGUCGUCUGUGAUGGGGGCAGGAGGAGCUUCCACGAGGGCCAACAUAUCCUUCGGUGGCUUCUACGAUGGAUUCUGAUGGAUCAGAACAGAGUAUCAUCGUCAUUCAUCAAGCACAAAGUUGCCGUGGUAGCAGACUAGCAGGUAGCAACUUUAGUUGUGCUACGGCCAAGUGAUGUGAAACUCUGGGUGUAUACUAAUACUGCCACGCACGUACCUGCACAUACCGUGUGGUGGAUGUAAAUAAUUGGGUUGUUAUUAGACUUUGGUUUAAUUAAUACAGAUAAGGAUGGAUUAUAGGUUUAUUUAUUCACGUUGAUAUAGGUUAUGCUUAAUGGAGAAGUUACUAACUAAACGUUGAACCAUGCCAUGCUCCUCUUCGAUUACCUGUUUCUGCUUGCUUGUGUAUAUUCCCUCCGUAUAGGAUUUAGAAAUCGUUUAGAACAAUGGCAUGAUCUCCAAAACAUAACUUUGAUCUCUUAUUUUUAUAAAAAUAUUUAGAAAAAAAGAUAUGUGUAUACUUUUAUGAAAGUAUUUUUAAGACAAAUAUAUUCAUACAAUUUUCACAUUUACAAACUCGAUAAUUUUAAAGUCAUUGAUGAUUUAUAUUCCUAAUGUUUGACUCAAACCUUAUCCAAAACCACUUCUAAAUUUUAUACAGAUGGAAUAUAUAUAUAUAUUAAUAAAUAAUAAAUAUAUAGGUGUCAUUCACAUAUAUAAGCAAGCAGGGAGUUCCUUGUGAAUGACACCUAUAUAUAUAUAUAUAUAUAUAUAUAUAUAUAUAAAAGCAAGCAGGGAGUUCCUUGUGAAUGACACCUAUAUAUUUAUUAUUUAUUAAUUAAUAAAUGAUUUGUGAGCAUGCAGAAAAAUAGUUAUUGUUCUCAGGUCGUAAAUUACUAUUUUAUUAGUUGGGUGUACUUUAAUUUCGAUGAAAGAGGCCCGAAGCACGCACAAAAUCACAAAUAUAUUUUAAUAGCGUAAUUAGUCUAAGCCUUGUUCAGCAAGGGGAUUGCCCUAGCCACUAUCAUUUCUGUCAAAGAAAGUUUUAGCCAGCGGACGUGCGCCCUCAAUUGUGCGUUGUGGUGUUCAUAGUGACACUGACAACCCCACCAAUAAUCUGCUGGGCCUUUUUCUUUGUGCACGGCGACGCGACGGUACAAGUGUCCGUCCGUCCGCCCAUCGCGCCAACGACUCCGCGCAAUUAUGAGGUCCUCUUAACUAAUACUACUAUCGAUUCUAAAUUAUAAGUUGUUUUAAUUUUUUUAAGAUAUGUAGUUUUUACUAUUAUAUAUUAUAUUCAGAUACAUAGUAAAAUUAAUGUAUUUUUAAAAAAAGGAUUACAAAAACUUUGCCACUCCUUUUAAUGCAAGAAAAAAAUUAAAAGACAAGUGCUAAAUGGUUGAGUGAAAACCAUGUCAAAAACCAUACAGUUGGAGAGUGCAUCACUCAUCCCAAAUAACUUCAAUGUCUUCGAUACAAAGACUGAAAACUUCAAAAAACAAUGUAUUUGAAAAAGCCAAAACAUUUGUAAUUUGAAAUAAAGGAUGCAUGAGAUAUAAACGUUCUUCCUGGCUUCUCCUUAGGUAGACGUACCUAUGGUCGCAUUUAAGCCUAGUUCUUCGAGAGUUCUCUGAAUAUGGAAGGAGAAGCAUUUCCUUGUCAAGUAUUUUUGUCGUCUUGUCAUUUCACCAUCAAAUACCUUCACCACCACUAAGAUGCAAGGACUUCUUAGGUAAGAUUUUUUGUUGGGAUUUCUCAAUCAGUUUAACUAAAAAGUCUACCAAACCUACAUAUGUAGGAACGGCUUGUAAACUUAAAGCCAAACAUAAGAGCUUCACCAAAAAAAAUUCUUUAAAUCUUUCUUAAUUUACAUAAAUAGAUAUUUUGGUGAAAAAAUAUCCUUCAAUAACCUCUUUCAUUCGAUCUCCAAAUAUAAACAUCAUAUGUUCCGUAUUUCUUUCUAGCCAAAGAUAGAGAGCAAGGAUGACUCUCUGAAGUGUGUACAAAAUAUAAAAAAGUUGUUGGAAGGUAAAAAAUAAAAAAAAAGGAAUUUUACUCAAGCAACUCUCUAAAUAAUGAUUUCGGGAUAAAAUUUUAGAAAGGCUCUUGAAGAUGCUCCGCUGAAACUAAAAGUCAUUUUCACCCAAAGCUGAAGCCAAAAAAAAAAAACAUAACUUUCCCCAGUUUCUCCUUUUUAAAGAAGCCGGGACUAUACCAAACGGCAUCUAAAUCUACAAGUUAACGCCUAUUGAUAUAUGGUAUAAAAGGAGAAACACACAACAUUGGAGAACAAAAUAAAAAUUGCUCAAAUUUACAGUAGCAUAUAACAAAGUACCAUGUCCGCUAAACUAGCUAGUGAUGAUCCGGCCGGUUUUGGGAUCCUUGCGAAACAAAGGCACACGGUUGAAAUUAUUACGGGAGAAAAGGAGGAGGAAGAAAUAUCUCACCUGAAAGCUGAAGUGCAAUGUACUGUAUGUCGAUCAACACGGGGUAAAAAAUCUGGCGCAAGUCCUUAUCAGGUGGUCAAAACGAAGGCCACUUCGUCAAGUCUCUGAACGGGCUGGAGCGUGCCAGGGAGACCUUGUUCAGUUCGUGAAUUUUUUUUUUUUGACUUUGGCUACUGAAGCACUUUCGUUUGCAUGUGACAAUUAUUAUCUAAUUACAAAGUAACUAGGCUUAAAAAAUUCGUCUCGCAAAUUACAGAUAAACUUUACAAUUAAUUUUUAUUUUUAUCUAUAUUUAAUACUCCAUACAUGUGUACAAAGAUUCAAUGUGACGUAGAAUCUUGAAAAUUUUUAGAACUAAACAAGGCCCAGUUAGCUUGGCAAGUGGCAACGUUGCUCCGGCGAUGCCGACACGACACAGGGGUGAGAAGUGAAAGCGUCGUCGUCGUGUAAUUUGUUGCGUGUGUUUGUCCACGGAAUUGUUCUUUUGUGCACCAUAUACGUGCAUACAGUCGCGUGUACGGCGCAUUUGCAGGAGUAGCUAGUCGUUAUCGAGAUAUGCUGUCGUGUUUUAUUAAUUACAGUUGUUAUCGAGUAGUAGUUACUACUAAUGUAACUGAUUGUUCCUAGUCUUCAAAGCUAUGUAAAAUACUUUGUUAAUUAACCACUCCUGAACAGAGUGGCCAUGCUUUUGUAUUCCUAUUUACAGUAAAUAAAAUAUUACAAAAACAAAACAUAACCGAACAAGGGUUUAGUGAUUUUGGUAGUUGAGUGGCAACAUAACAUAGUCAAUGGGACAAAGAAUGUUUCCUAGUAUACAAAGUACAGAGUCUUAAGGAUAUAAGAGAUGGACUUGAGAUAGGCUACGAUGAAGAUCAAAGAAUCACCCACCUCAAAUAUAUAACUUAUGGCCAUCGGUGGAUCUGAAUAUGCCAACUUUUGCAGGAGAAAGUCCAAAUAAGGGUAAGCCCAAUUGAUUGGGCCAGUUGCAAGACAUUGAAUGGAUCAGAUCCAGUAGCUUGGUCUUCUAGAAGAUGAUGCUUCUGUCAUGUGUCCCUUUGGCACACCAUUUCACUGCUUUGUGGUUUCUUGGUUCUUUUUCUUUCUAGUACAUCAUGCUAUUUAGUUGACAAAUGGCAAUAGAGUUUUAAAAGCUAUUCAGACUGCUGCCCUAAUUUGCCUCUGGCCAUAUUAUUUCUAUGGAGCAGAUAAGGUGUUGCCUCUGUAUAACCAAAGAUAAACACUAUUCUGACUUUCCCUUCCUGAUAAGGUGUUGUACUAUCCUUUUUUUUUUGUAUCUAUUAUGCUUUUUUCCCUAGUUGCAUAUGCUUUGCACGGUUGAUGCAUCUCAAAUGAAACAUUCCAAAGAAAAAUAUUUGGCUGUAUAUAAGCACUAGUUAGUUGAUCAAGUCACCGGGUGACAAAACAGAUGAAAAGAUUCAACAUCUUUGUAUGCGUAUUAACUGCAUUAUAGGCUGAAUAAAAAAGAAAGAAAGAAACUGCAUUAUAGGCUACUGUUCUUUGGGUCUCAGCUCUUCACAGGCAUACCAAAAUUGAGCCUCUUGCUUAAUCAAAUUGGCUACUGGUGCUUAAACUUCAUUUUUUACCUGUAUUUUAUAUUCCAUAUCUGCUUGGUUAUAGUAUCUACCUUGUUUGAAAGAAUUGAGCCUCUUGCUUCAUCAAAUGGACUACUGGAGUCACGGAAUUAAUGUUGAAGUUGUUUGAUUGAAUCGUAUCCUACAUACUCUUGGUUUAAUUCAUAUACUAGAGUCAUAGUUACCACUGCUAAUAUUGCCAGAGCAAAGUCCUGUCACAUAAUCAGCUGUCUUAGGAUGGAUUUGAUUAAAAUCUAACUGUUCGCUUCUUUCAAACAAAUAAUUGUUUGAAUUUGAUUAAAUAUAAUUAGUCUGUUUUGAUGUGUCUCACCAGCUUUUUAUUAAUUUAACUAGGCAUCCUAGAAUUCAGUUGGAUGAUUUUAUUUAAAAGUUAUGACCAAGUUCAUGUUCAGGUCAAUGAAGAAACUCUGUUACUUUCUUGGAUCCUGACAUUUGAAAUAGACAUGUCAACUGAUUGCAGUGAUUGUCCAAUGGUUGCCCUGGAACAGGAUGCAAUGUAAACAUUGUUUUCAUGUUUUGUCAGAGUUAGUCUGAAUGACAGAAUUCUGUGUAGAUCUUACUGUCGCAGUAAUUGUUUCUAGACAUCAUCUUCCAGAUAAGUGACUAGCAUUUCUGCAUAUGAGAAAGAUUGCUUCCAUGCAGUUGCCAUUCAGAAUCGUGUUACUACAUACUAGCAAGUGGGUGAGAUGACCAUGAAUCAUUUUUAUGAUGUUUGCACGUGAACAGAGGACUUGUUUUAAGAUAAAAAGCAGUGAGCAGUGAAACGAAACAUACCUUCUAAUAGAGCUCAAUUCUGAUCGUUUUUCUUUCAGAAUUUGCACUUCUUCACAUGGGAUGAUUUUACAUCUGUUGAUCUCAUAUCUCUUCAGUUAUUGACUUACUAUUGAUGCAAUUUUUGUAGGCCAUCUUGCUCUUGCACGGGUCUUGGACUGUGUUGUAAUUUUGGCAACAGGCAAAGCUGAGGUUAAAAAGUCUAUUGGUUUAACCACACAUAUAUAUGAGCCAAAGUGCCAAAUUUCAUCUCUCUUAUUAUGAUUCUGCAUACUUAGUAUCAUAUCUUUUUUUUUUGGGGAUCAACGGGGGGGAGGCGUUCCCCACCUGAUAAAAAUUCUAUUUUAGCCCAAAAACGGCUCGCAAAGAGUCAGCAUAUUACAAGAUUACAAAGUACAAAAUACAAUAGCUGCAGCUAUGAGUUGCUUUGAUAGAGGUUUACAAGACUUAGACAGCGGAUGUCUAGGUUCGUGCAGGCCUAGCCAUUUCAAGGACUGAACACCAAUGGGUAGCUACUGCCCUUUUUCUCCUAGGCAGUCUGAACUUCCAGAGCUCGGUUGCCGACUUGCAAUCACAGUGUCAGCUGAAUGAACUUCGUUGUUGAAGAUCCUCGCAUUUCUGGCUUUCCAGAUGUGCCAACAGAUUAGCGCAAUGAAGGAGGGGAAUUCCUGGAUGGGGGCAGCAGUAGAGUUGGAGACAGUGUGGAGUUGUGACAUGUCCAUGGAGGUUAUGGACUAAAGGCCUAGACAUUGCCAUGUCUCCCGGCCGAUGGUGUAGCCAUGGAUGAUGUGCUCAGGAGACUCAUCACUGGCGUUGCAGAUUUCGCAAGUUGCAGAAUCUACAAUGUGUUUCUUUAGCAGCACCGACCGACACUUGAUUCUCCUCUGAGUUAGAAGCCACAUAAACAGCUGAACCCUUGGUGGAGCAAAGGUUUUCCAAAUGAAUUUUGCUCUCGGGUCCUCUCCUUGACCCCUAGCCUUGAUCAUCCUGUAAAGCUACCCACUGUCAAGGGAGUUGUCUGCUCGAAAGAAAGUCGAGCACCUCUUGUCCGGCUCACCAGUGAGUUGAGUGGAGUCUAGAAUGUCCUGAACCAUGUUCAGUUCUUGUGCUGCUAUUGUUGAAAGCCUAGGCACCAACGAGAUGCCAGAGGCUUUGAUUAAACUCAGAGGGGAAGUCUUCGCUGUACAGUGAGAUAGCAGGGAGGGGAAACGAUCGGCCAAAGGUUCAUCGCCGACCCAAAUAUCAUACCAAAACGAGCAGGUCCUUCCAUCCCCGACCGAGACAGUCGUGAUUGCUUGAUAGAGUGGUAAGAUGGAUCUCAGCGUCUGCCAAUGUUGCCCAUGGAGAUCACCUUCAAGAGAGCAAACAGAGGCACGACCCUGAACCCAUUGUGCCCAUGCCGAAGACUGAGGGCAGUGAAGCCGAUGGAUAAGUUUCAACAGAAGGCAAAUGUUCUGGAUCCCUAAAUCGCGUACUCCAAGCCCGCCAAACUCUCGAGGGCAGCAUAAAUUCUCUCAGGCAAUGAGGCAGGCUCCAGGUGAGCAGUGGCCAUUCUUGUCUGCAGACCAGAAGAAUGCCCUUCUCUUGGCGUCCAUGGCCUGGAUCGUGGUCUGGGGAAGUUGCAGUGAGCUCAUUAGAUAGACCAGAAUGGAGUCCAGGACUGCAUUCACCAUUAUUCCUCUGCCCAUGUGAAAGGUCCUUGUUUGGUUUUGGUAAUUGAGUGACAACUUAGGUGGACUAAUAGUGUUUAUGUGAGAUACAUAGGAGAUUAGUCCACAGGUGAUGAUAUGAUGAUGGAGGAGCUCAUUGCACAUGAGACAUGACAUGGAGUCAUGUGACCAAGGUGGAGAAGAUUGUGGGGGUAUAAACCCCUAUACCCUUACGGCUAGACUUGGGCCAGGAGGCUUGGCCCAUUACGAGACGAGUUCAAGGCUUGAUCCGACAGCUUGGAGUUUUGUGCAAGGAAACAAGAUGUGGAGAUCAAGCAGGAUUCUAGUCGGUUAGAAUAGGAAUUGAUAUCGAAUUAUCCAUGGCAAUUGUAACCGACUAGGAUUAGUUUCCAGAUCUGUAACCCUGCCCUCCAGACUAUAUAAGGAGGGGCAAGGGACCCCCUAGGACGAGUCACACAUCAUAUUCUCUCAACACAAUCCAAUACAACCAGACGCAGGACGUAGGUAUUACGCCAACUCGGCGGCCGAACCUGGAUAAAAAGCUUGUCCGUGUCUUGCGUCACCAUCGAGUUCGUAGUUUGCGCACCGUCUACCGAUAAACUACUACCGUGGGUAUACCCCAAGGUAGACUGCCGACCAGCUUUCGUCGACAGUGGCGCGCCAGGUAGGGGGUGUGCGUGCAACUUCUCCGACGAAUGAGAUGGCCAUCAUCCCCGACUUCGCGACCAUGGCAGGCGGCUUCACGUUCACCGUCAGCUUCAACAGCUUCACCACCACGACCGCGAAGGAGGCGUAGAUCCAAUCUAUGCCGAUCACUUCUUCACCGACGUCGGCUGCAGCUCCAACCACGCUGGCUACGGCUUCGACCACACCAGCAACGUUUCCGACCACGCCGACAACGCGUCGCACGCUUCCCUGCUACAAAGGGAGGCAGAUCGACAACACCGACCUGCUCGGGCCAUCGACCAAAUUGUUUAGCCUACUUGCUCUGACCACCAGUCGCAAUAAUAAUCGUCGCGGAGAACGACGCUAUGACAACAGCGACCACCGUCAUGACAAGUCGAAAAGCUCGAGGGCCGGACAAUUUUGUCGUCACCGACUAGACUUUCUUUCAAAGAUAAGUACACUUCUAAUAUUUUAUUUAUUUUUGGCAUAAUAUUUUUAAUAUUAUUAUUCUUUAAAACAACUUUUUUAGCCGACUAGUUUUUUCUCCUACACGAGCUUUCCAGAGCCGGCACUGUCUCCGACUCCUCCCUACACGUGCACGAGAUCCGCCCUCUGCGUUCCGGGUGGUCGGCAGUAGCUCUCUGGCGAGGCUGGCAAUCCUACGCGUGCCUAGGUUCCGCACCUCAUGCUGAUUGUUGGCUAGACCAGAGCUGGUACAAGCUCUAGGAUGAAUUAACUACUUGUGCUAAUUUUAUAACAAAAAAUCUAAAACUUAUCUCAGUACUAAUUUUUGUCUAAAGUUUAUUUAUACAUCAUGUACUACCUAUUCUUUAUAUUUAUUUUUCAGGGGUUUGGCCCAGUCGACAAGCUACGCUCGGGGACUCGUCGACUAUUCCCUACGCUGUGCCCGGGGACUGCUCCGACCACCGAGCACGUUUACGUUCCCAACCACGCUCGGUGACUUGUCGACUACUCUCUAUGCUGUGCUCGAAGACUGUGCCGACCACCGAGCACGUUUACGUUCCCAACCACGCUCGGGGACUUGUCCACCGGUCCCUACGUCGUGCUCGGGGACUGCACCGACCACCGAGCACUAUAUGCUCGGGGACUGGUCGACCAGCCCACCAAUUUAAAAACUUGGGGACUGCACCGACCACCGAGCACUAUACGCUCGGGGACUGGUCGACCAGCCCACCAAUUUGAGAAUUCGGGGACUGUACCGACCACCGAGCGUUAUAUGCUCGGAGACUGGUCGAUUAGUCUAUUCAAUUGCAGACGGACUGGUAAAUUCAAUUUUUUAGACCUUGCUACAAGGCUCAUACUUCGCCUUCCAGCAAGCUCGGGGACUACAUCGGUACGAUGCAUCUGGCGAUGCAUCUCAGUUUCAGAAUUUCUUUGAGGACUUUUCUUUUGACCCUGGCACCACGUGCCUACGUCACCUACUACCAGGCUCGGGGACUAAGUGGGCACACUUCACCUUGCGGUGAAUAUGCUUGCUUUUUGAAAGACUAUACUUUUCAGAAAAGUAAAGUGGGCACACUUCACCAGGAAAGAAAUCUUUUUUGAUUAAGAGCACCAUGCAUUCUUCGAACAACCUGCUUCUUCGAUGUCAAUGUUGAUCAACUGUCUUUUGAGUCGGUCAAAAUACCGUUGCAACUGUUUGGACGAAUUUCCUGCUUAUUGAAGACGUCAAGCCUCACUGAUCGAAGAAGCUCAAGACAGCGUGUUACAUCACAAUACAUGGUGCUCGGGGACUAGCUGUGGGGGUAUAAACCCCUAUACCCUUACGGCUAGACUUGGGCCAGGAGGCUUGGCCCAUUACGAGACGAGUUCAAGGCUUGAUCCGACAGCUUGGAGUUUUGUGCAAGGAAACAAGAUGUGGAGAUCAAGCAGGAUUCUAGUCGGUUAGAAUAGGAAUUGAUAUCGAAUUAUCCAUGGCAAUUGUAACCGACUAGGAUUAGUUUCCAGAUCUGUAACCCUGCCCUCCAGACUAUAUAAGGAGGGGCAAGGGACCCCCCUAGGACGAGUCACACAUCAUAUUCUCUCAACACAAUCCAAUACAACCAGACGCAGGACGUAGGUAUUACGCCAACUCGGCGGCCGAACCUGGAUAAAAAGCUUGUCCGUGUCUUGCGUCACCAUCGAGUUCGUAGUUUGCGCACCGUCUACCGAUAAACUACUACCGUGGGUAUACCCCAAGGUAGACUGCCGACCAGCUUUCGUCGACAAAGAUCAAGAUGAGGCUUGGCUUGAUGGACCGGUUGCAAGAGUGAAGGGCAAGUCGGAGGCUUUGAAGCGAGGGACCGCGUGUGACGAUGAAGCUUGAGCAAGACUUGGCGCCGAUGGACCGAGGCAACGGUGAAGAGCAAGUGAGGUCAAGAUCGAUGAACCAAUACGGUCACGUGAUGAUAUAAAGUGGAUCAUAUCAUUUGGUGAUUGGUUGGUGCAUGUGUUGCAUCAACAUUGGAGGAGAUGGAAUGGAAUGCGCAAGGCAAAGGUAUAACCUAGGGCAUUUUCAUUUCACCGGUCAUAGGUGUGUAGAGAAGUUUAUGACCGGAUUUAGGAUAGAUGGCCGUACUAUCAAGAGGGGCAAACUUGUUUGCAUAUCGGUCAUCUAGUGCCAUUUGAGCGAUCUAACUUUGCAUACGUGUUAGGAUCGAGUGGCGUGGAAAGUUUGAGAGGCUAACUUCUUUGGGAAAAUGUUUGAGAAAAUGCUAACACACUUGCACAUGGUGGAGUACACUUGGUGGUGUUGGCACAUUUGCAAAGGAGGUGGAGUUCCUAGGAUUGAGAGAGGUGUGGGUUUCUCUCUCCCUCCCGCCGAGUUUGCGAGGCGGGAUUCGGCGCUUUUGAGAAAAUGAAGUGCAUAUUUUCUACUGCACCGGUGGGAAUUUUUGAGAAGUCGCGGGAGUGUUUCUCACUGAGAAACACUCACCGGACGCUCUGCGCAGAGGCACCGGACGAUGGCCUUUAGCGUCCGGUGUGCUGAUGGGUGCAGCAGAGUGCACCGGACGCACCGGAGUGAGUCCGGUGCUCUGCGUCCGGUGUGCGGACGGUUUGGCAACCCUCUCUGCGCAUGAGUCCGGUGAAGCACCGGACGCUCAGGGUGCGUCCGGUGGCUUGCGUCCGGUGACCCUGCAAGUUUACGGAGCUCUCUGCGCACGGGUCUGGUGUGCACCGGACGCGUCCGGUGUGGACUAGUUGAGCGUCCGGUGGUGCUGUGUCAGGCGCGGGCGCGUGGUAGCCGUUGGCGGCAACGGUCGAGUUCAAACGGCUAGUGACACGUGGCUGACGCCUGAGCACCGGACGCUGGGAGUUGAGCGUCCGGUGGCUCCCUGUGAGCGUCCGGUGCCCACGUGUUUUGCCCAGUGAAGGGGCAACGGCUAGUUUAGCCCUUGGGGCUAUAAAUAGAAGUGGUGGCCGGCCUUGGCUGGUGCUGAGCACCCUUGGGACUUAGUGUCCAUGCUUGGGGAGUGCUAGUAAAGCCUCUAACUCACAUAUGCUUGAUAGUGUUCAUCCGAUUGUGUGAGUGAGCGAUUCUAGUGCGUUGCAUUGAGAGAUUGCAUCGAGUGGCACUAGGUGUUCGUGUUGCAAGCCGGUGGUGCUUGUUUCUCUUGGAGGUUGCCACCUCCUAGACGGCUUGGUGGCUUGUGACUCCGUCGAAGCACGCAAGGAGAUUGUGCGGUGCUCCGGAGAAGAGAUUGUGAGGGGUACGGUGCUCACCCCGCGGGGAUCGUGAAGAGCAACUCUAGUUGAGCGAGACGUAAAGAGCAACAAGUGGUCCGGUCGGGUCAAGUGCUAGAGCUUGUGGUAAGCACUCCACGUGGGAGAGUGUGACUUGCGGGUCACCACUAGCAAGAGGACCGGCGGCAACCUUGGAGCUUGUCUCAACGGGGACGUAGCUUGGUGGCAACCAAGUGAACCUCGGGAGAAAAUCAUCGUGUCAACAUUGUUCUUCCCGUUGGUUUGCAAGUCCCUAACACAAGCUUGUUCUUACAUUCAUAUACUUGUGCUUGUGUAGCUGCUCUUGUAAUUAGUUAGCUUGUGUAGCUUGCUAGUUACCUUCUUGCUUGUGUAGCUAAGAAGUAGUUCCCUUGCGUAACUAAUUUGGUUUGUGUAACCUUGUUAGUCACAUUGCUUAGUUUGUGUAGCUAAGUAAGUUGCGCUCUCUAAUUUGGCAUUAGUUGCCUUGUUAUUGAGCUUGCUAGUGAGCUUAGGCUUUGUGCGCUUUGCCUCACUAGUUUGAGUAGGAGCUCCUCCGGUUUGCAAAGUACUAGUUGCAUAGGUUUGUGUGACCUUGCUCCUAGAAUUAGUUAGGUGAGCUCUCGCUAAGGUAGCACCUUGCUUGCUUGUUUAGGAUCUUUUCAAGGUGCUAGAGAACUUAGAUAGAGGGGUGUAGUCUUGGCUAGACCGAUAGUUUUAAUUCCGCAUUUGUUUCGGUUAGCCGGCGUAAUUUUUUUAGAAAGGACUAUUCACCCCCCUCUAGUCCGCCAUCUCGACCCUUCACCAUGGGAUUCAGCAGAUCGGCCUGCCAGGAGCUGAGAAACUUGUCUGCUUUUUGGAUGUAGGUGUUGAAAUUGGAUAUCGAUAGCUUGGUUGCAGAAAGGGGAAGUCCCAGAUAUUGCUGAGGAAAGGAUUCUCUGCUGCAGCCGAUGGCUUGAACACACAUACUCACAAUCUGCUCAGGAACAUGGAUAGGCACCAGAGUACUUUUGUCAAAGUUUAUGUGCAGCCCAGACAAUGCUGCGAACUGAUCCAAGAUUUCUUUUAACUUCACAGCCGUUUCAGUUUCAGCUUUGAAGACCACCAGUGUGUCAUAGGCGUAUUGCAGUACAGCGCAUGGUGACUCAGUAUUAGUCGGGUGCUUAAGCUGAGGGGCUGCCCUGAUCAUGCGUUGAAGUGUUUCUGCGACUAGGAUGAAUAAGUAAGGAGAAAGAGGGUCGCCUUGCCUCAGACCCCGCUUACAGUUUAUCCAUGGUCCCGGAGUACCAUUAACCAGAACAGCUGACUUUGAAGUACACAGAAGGCUCAUCAUCCAUCGAAUCCAUUUAGGCUGGAACCGUCUUGCGUGUAAGAUGCUCUGAAGUCCAUCCCAGUUAACCGUGUCGAAGGCCUUGGCAAAGUCAAGCUUCAAGACAAUUGCUGCCAUCUUUCUUUUAUGACACGUUUGAACCAGUUCAAGAGCAUAAACAAAGGUCUCAGAGAUUGAUCUUCCCUUGACAAACCUAGUUUGGUGCAGGUCGAUUAGUUUAGGAAUCUCCAACUCCAGUCGUGAGGUCAAGGCUUUGGAGAUGAUUUUUAGUGCACAGUUUUGGAGACAAAUCGGCCUGAAGGCGUGAACAUCCAUAGCAUUAGGUUUUUUGGGCAACAGAACCAUGUGGGACCUGUUUAACCUUUCCAGCUCGGCGUUCUCCGCAUGGAACGCAUCAGCGAAUUGCAUUACAAUGUCUUUAACUGAUGGCCAGGCAAUUCUGAAGGAGGGGCCGAACCCGUCAGGCCCCGGCGCGCUGAUGGGGUUCAUAGCCAUAACAGCUUGCUUCAGCUUAGAUUCAGAGAACGCCCUGGUGAGAUCACUGGCAGGGGUUUGAGUGUCUGCAUAGUAUUCAUCGAAGUCGAACACUGCUGCCUGCCCUGGGACGCCGAUGAUGGAGCUGAAAAAGGCAGUUAGCGCUUCGGUCUUUCCUGAGUGGCUGACGAUCUCGUGGUCACCCACUUUCACCAUCCUGAUGUAUUUCUUCCUCAUCCUGUGAGUUGCCUGAGCGUGGUGAUAGGUCGUGUUGCAGUCCAUUUCCUUUAUCCUCCUUUCUUUGCUACGCUGCCUCCAGUAUGCAGCCUUGAUCUUGAUUUCUUCAUGCAGUUUUUCCCUAGCCUUGUUUUUGACCUGAAACUCGGAUGCAGAAAGGGUGUGAUAUUCUUCGAAGUAGUCAAAUAACUGAAUAAUGAAUUGGCAGUUUUGGAUGAUUUGUGGGGGCACCCUGAAACGCCGUUUCCAAACCUUUGCUGCAACUCUUGCUGCCUUGAUGCACGCCACCAGUUUCCCCGCAGCGUCGCUGCAAGCAGGCACCUGCUGCCAUCCAAGAACGACCGAGGCAAGGAAGCCGUUGUUUUUGAGGAGGUAGUUAUCAAGUUUGAAGGAGUUCGAUUUGGGGAUGUUCGAAGAAAGAGACAACAUAAUAGGUGUAUGGUCGGAAGUUGGCCUUGGCAGGGAGGAUAGGGAGGUCAUCGUGAAGGCUAGAUCGAGUGCCACAUUGGUGAAGGCACGGUCGAGUCUAGCCAGGAUUGGGAAUGCCUGUUUAUUUGACCAAGUGAACCUUCGAUCGGAGAGAGGAAUUUCGGUGACCAGGAUUUGAAGAAUGGUGUUGUUGAAAGCGUCAGCCAGAGCAGCGUUGAACUGGCCGUUGCUCUUGUCUGCGGUGCUGCGGACAAGGUUGAAGUCCCCUAUUAGGAUCCAGGGCCCGGUAAUAUGUUGGUGGACAUCACAGAGGGACUGGAGGAAGAGGUUGGAGAAGUGGUGAUCUGCCGGGCCAUAGACAUUUGUAAUGGAUAGAUCAUAAUCGGAGGCAUUACAAGCGAAAGUUGUAGUGAGGCUGUAGGGGUUCGAGUGGUGCGAGGUUAGGGAGAAGAGGGUCGGGUCCCAGGUGGUGAUCAGGCCCCCUCUUGAACCAUCAGCUGGAGAAAAAACAUAGGAGGAGGAGAAGGGUUAUGGUAAGAAGGUUUGAGAUUUGAAGUUGUUUAGCUGGGCCAACUUGGACUCCUGAAUGCAAAUGAAGGAAGGUUUAACAUCAGAGAACAACGUUCGCACGACCUUGCAUUUGUCUGAGUCGCCUAAACCUCUUACGUUCCAAGACACAACGUGAAAGCAGUGGUUAAGCGAGCUCAAGUUCGACAGGGAGUUCAUGGAUUACAACCGUUACAGACAACAACAGACAAAGGAUCCGGUCUAGCAGCGAUCCCAAAACCACAAAAUAAAGCGUGAAAAGAAAGCAAAAGAUACAAGCACCACCGCAACCAAGAUCCCAGCGGGCGUUGGGGCUGUGGUGCAAACCACCAUGGAACGGGGGAAGGUUAUUUGUUGUAUUAAUUUACAAAAGUUGAGACUUGUAGUGAGAAAUGAUAACCUAUGUGUAUGCAUUCUAUGUCCAUUUAACCACCAACAAUUACUCAUCCUCCAAGUGAGACAUGAAACAGAAGUGUGUGCUCUGAAGAUAAUGAAGAAAAACAUUAGGAGCUACAGAUUGUUUGUCAUAGUCGUCCCCUUCAUCCUAUUGUAAAUUGUUUUGUAAAUAGUUUGCUCCUAGCACAAGGACUUCUUCAACAGUAUAAAACAUCCUAAAAUUUCUAACAUUUUUUUUAACGAAAAGCUUAUCCUGUUCACUGUUUGUUGCAUGUUCCACCCGUUUGCUAUGUAGAAUGCCUGAUUCAGUCUGCAAGUGUUUCUAGUUUCUUCUUAUAAGCUCUGAAACUAUGUUCUCACCUAUCAGGAGCAAUAUAUCUCUUCAAGUUACGCUCCAAAUUCACUUGUUUGUUUGGAUAAAUAAUUUUCUUUGCAUCUGAGCCAAGAAUCAACUACUAAAUUGUCAGCAAUACGCAAGGAAUGGUAGGACUGAUGUCUGUCCUAUACUCCUAUAACUAUAUGUAUUGUUCAUCCUUCAAACACAGUUUGCCAGUGCCAAAUCAGCAAUUCUGUCAAUAUUUUUUAAAAGAAAGCACAUGUGCAGAAAAAAUAACUAACAUUCAAAUUAAUAAAUGGAAUAUCUUGAUUUUGCUCCGUGCCUCAACUUGUUUUCUUCUAUUCAGAACAAUGUUGAAAGAAAGAAACAAUUACAGUGGCUUUUUCUUCUUCUUCUUCUUUUCUUUUUUUUCUUUUGCUGUUACUAGUUGUGAUGUCGCAUCACUUUAUUUUUGCAAGUCACACAAACUGCUGUUGGUGAAGUUGUUUCGUGUGCUUGGAUGGUGAUGGAACACAAAACCUUUGAAAUUUCUUACACUAGUCUGGACCAGACAGAUGUGAGCUGAUGGUUCUGCUGGGGGCCUGUCAAUAUUAAGCAUCAACAGCAUCAAGUGGCCAGUAAACUUUGCUCAAGAAGACCAGUGGCCAAGAACUUCAAUUGGUAAGGCUCGGGCUUACCUGAUUAUAAUGAGUGAUUCAUAUGUGAAUUGCAUUUUGCUUACAUGCUAAGUGGAGUAGCUUAUGUUUCCUUGCUGUAACACGACAUUCUAGAAUAACAAGGAAACAAAGAAUAAAGACCCCGGCUGGUCCACAUAUAGACCUUUUCCUUUUUUGAUUGAUGGAUGAAUCAAUUUGAACCUUUUUACUGUUCUCCUCUGUUUUUGUUUUGUCCCUACCCUAUUGAAAGAACAUAAAAAUCACACAACCUUACAUGUAAAUGGUAACUUGUUCGGUAAAAGUAAACUAUAUAUUCUCUCUAUUCCUCCAUAAAUCAACUCCUACAGUUGUCUAAAGUCAAGCUUUUUUAUAUUUGACCGAAUUUAUAGAAAAGAGCAUAAGUAUUCAUGAAAUAAAAAAUAAGCACAUUAUGAAAAUAUGUUUUAUUGUGUCUAAUAAUACUAAUUUGGUGUCAUAAAUAUUUGCACCCUUUUCUACAAAUUUGCUCAAAUUUUAAAAAAAUUACUUAAAGUAACUCUAGGAAUUAACUUAUGGGACAAAUGUAGUAUUUACUCUGUCCCAAAAUAUCUAUCGUUUUCUCUUCCCAGGAAAUAACUUUGACAAAAUAUAUAUUAAAAAAUAUUAAUAUUUAUGGUAUAUAAUUGACAUCAUUGGAAAGGAAUUUGAAUCUAGUUUUUCAAUAAAUUUAUUUGGAGAUACGAAUAUUGCACGUAUUUUCUACAAAUUGAGUUAAACUUGUGGCACGAAAACCAAAAGCGAUGGAUAAUUUGUGACAGAGAGAGUAUGUGUAAUUAGGGAUGGUCAUUCACUCUACAUCUCAUCAACGGGACAACAUUAUGUUUCCUUUGCUAUUACACAAUAUUCUUCUUUUUUGAACAAUUUAUUACAUGAUAUUCUAGAAGAACAAUCCAACAAAGGACAGGGACCUUUGCUGGUCAAAUCAACCUGUUUGAACCCUUUCUUUUUAUUGUUCCCUCGGUUUGUGCUCGGUAUCCUAUGAUAUUAGAACUUAGAAGCAAAUUAAAAACCAGUCCAAAACCUUGUGUGCUCUUGUCUAAUCCUACAUGUAUCUACUAAUAACUCACCUUAUCGACAUAUUAUACAUAUAAAACUUGGGACGGCCAUUCAGUUGUUUUGUUUGUACCUCUUCAGCAAGCGUUAAGAGCACCACUUCAUGCAUUCUUUUUUGCCUCUUGAAGAAGCUAAUGCGUCUUGGUCAAGGGCUGUACACGCAUGUACAUGUACACACUGACAAGAGCAGCAUACCGACAACACAAUAGACAGCAUCUAAAAGGUAUGUGCUACUUACUAGUCUGAGACUCUGAAUGAGUGCAAUAUCUAUUCAAAAGGUUAAUGAUUACUUAAAGCAAAUUAGCGACUACUGAUACGUUGUCAGUACUUAAUUUCGUUAUUAUGCCUUCUUUUUGUGCACUAGCUGUUUAAAUGCAUAAUAUAAGUCCAAAUCGGCAAAAUCAACCGGACCCAGCAAAUCAGUGUCCUGUGCUGCCUUAUGCAAAUACUAAAAUCAAAAGCUAUGACGACCAUUAGUGUUUGUUCAGAGACAUUUUCUUUCCUUUAACAAAGGGGAGACCCAAGAUAUGGCAUAAAACACAAGGAUGGCGGCAAAGGCUGACCAAACAGGAGCACUCGGCUUCUUCAAAGUACAGGAUUAUAAAACCUGAUAUAAAGCCUGCAGAAGGUACAUCAAACAGUGAAAAUGAAAUCCACAUACAUACAUAUAUAACCACAUUCUGGUGUGGCACUACUACUACCUUACUUGCAUUACUAGUAUACAUAUAUUCUUUUUUUGGGGGUGGGGGGUUAGGUUAAAGGGUGCGAAAUCGCGGUAGCUAGGAAGAAGAGUGAGGAGGGGAAAGGGACAAGAUACCAGAAUAAAUUGCUGAGGACACCAUGAUUGGUCUGCAAGGAACGAACGAUCGAACGAACCACAUUGUGUGGUGUGUGGCCUGAGGGGGGAUGGAACAGUGCAAUAGACUUCACCCCCUGCCCCGUGCCAAAAGCAACGCCCUUUCUGAUGGCUACCCGCUUUCUACUACCCGGCAUCCUCCUGCUGCUGCUGCUGCCUAUUUCCUUUGCUCCGGGUGUUUUGCAUAGCAUAGGAGCCCUGCAGCCACAUUUGUUUGUUCCUGGUUCCCGGCCCUCUCCAUGGGGUGGCUCCACUCCCUCUUCUCCCCUCUCAGGAGGAUGUGGGUGAGGGCGCAUUCCGAGCGCCGCAACCGUAAGUAGUUCUAGCAAGCUCAUCUCUCUAUCUGUCUGUCAAUCUACCUCUGAUCAUGAUCAUCAUAUCAUAUCCUGAGCACAUCAAGUAUUUGCUCUUUGUUAUGAUCUUGCUGCAUUGCAAUUUGAAACAUCAUGUUCUUGGCUUCUCGCUGGCCUGCUUUCCUGCCUUGUUGUUUCUGAACAUGCAUAUGCUUGCACAAUUUGACAUGAUGCAUUGCUUGCAAGGUGUGCUAAACUUACUUAACUGGGGUUGGCUUUGCCUUUUAAUUUGCUUGGCAGGGAGGGGAAUGCACAUCCUGUACAAGGACGUGCAGUCGUGCCAGGACGAGGACGUGCACGUCCUCUGGUCCAUCCUCAUCGACUCGCACCGCCACCCGGCUGUCCUCAAGCUUAAGCUCUGAACCAAGCUCAGCAAUGGCGCCGUCUACGUGUACCUAUUUAUAUAUGCCGGGUGCAGUCUGAGAGAGAGCAGCCCUCCUAGCUGGCCUCCCAUCCCAUCAUUUAGUACUAUCUAUGGUUUGUCUUUGAUGAGGAUUACUACUCAUUGGCCAUUGCUGCCUUUGCAUUCCAAAACCAAAGAAAAAAAAAGGAGCUCAGAGGUUGAAGAAGAAGAGAGAGAGAGAGGUUUUCUAUGCUUGUUGUGUGAUGUUUUCCCUUUGUUCUUUUGCUUGUUUCUUUGAGGUUGAGAUGUCACCUUUGUUUGUGUUGGGCUUGAAAAAAGAGUGUGAGGUUGAGCUCCCUGUACAUAGACACAUACACUUGCUCAAGUGAUGCCUUACCUUAAAUUCUAUCGUACUGUACAGUUGUGUGUAUUUGCUUGCAUUGUGUGUAUGUGUAUGGGAUGGAGGCUGCUGGUUGUUAGACUGUAUCUGUCCCUGCUUUUUUGUUACAAUUUUUUUAAAAAAAUUGCCCUGUCAAUUUGUUGGUGCCCUGACGUGUGUUGUUUUCUCACGCACGAAUGGCUGCCAAGUGGUCGUGCUCAUGUAUUUUGGACUAGAAUAUAUGCAGGUUUGAAGUCCAUAAAAUCCAGAAAGAGUAGUCCAAGACGUACACAGUUUGGGUUGUAUUUUAUUUAUUUUAUUGUCACGAAUUGCCAGGGCAGAAAUAAAUAUCUUCCGGUGGAUGCUGCCGGCUUGCCGACACUCGUAUAGUCGUAUGUAUAGUCGUAUGUAUAGCCGUAUGUAUUUAUCGUGGAGCCAAAGGUAUUUUGUACAUUGGUUAUGGAGCUGUGGAGGAGUUGUUGAGCGAUGUUCUUUAUGUAUCUUUUUGAAGCAAACAUUUAUGUAUGUAUUAUUCUUUUUUACAUGCUUACUUUAAUAGAUGGUUCGUUCACUUUGCAUCAGUAAUAAUUCGUGAAAAGGUUGGGACCCACCGGUGGGCCCACUUGCACCAUUCGUGUUACUUGCUUGACGAGUAUCCCCAUCUCAAAACGAAUGCUUUUCCAAAAAGGUACACUAUAAAAAUAUAUUUUAUGAUUAACAAUAUAAUAAUAUGUAUUUGAAAUUAUAAAUAUUAGCAUAUAUUUUUUAUAAAAAUUGAGUCCAACUAAAGAUGAUUCUUUAUUUGAAUUAACACAAUUAUAUAUUUUUUUCUAGGACAGAGAGCAUGUUGCACAACAGUCCUAUAAAACGUCUUACGCUUUGGGCGGAACGUUUAAAUUCAUCUUUCGGAGAGGGAUUUUUUUGGUCCUGUAAGAACUAUAGAAAUGCAAUAAUAUUAAAAUGGUCACAAAUAAAUAUCGUAGGUACAGAACAGAAUCUAGUGUCUUCCUCUUUCAAUUCUAGACCUCACACUUCUUCUCGCAACAUCUUCCUGAUGCACAUCUCCCAUAAUGCCCUUCUUAGAGCUAAUCUAUAACUCUUAUAAUCCUAAACCCCACUAACUAUUUCUCUAAGCAUACAAGCUAUCCACCUAAGCAAUGCACUACCAUAUUUCAUUAAAAUCCACUAAGUAAAACCUCAAUAACUAUUUAUCUCAACAUGCAAUGCACUACCACAUAUACAAUUAAAAUCCAAUAGCACAUAUGACAACUGUAAUGUCCACGUCAGCAAGACAAAUAAAUAUAAUCCACAUCAUCAUAUUACACAAUCUACUAAUCCGCAAUUCCCGCAGCAACGCGCAGGAUAUGCUCCUAGUUUCUACUCUUUAAAUUAUAAUUCACCUCUGUUACUUGUGCUUGAGACAACCUUCGGGGUUAUUUUGGUCAUAUUUUUUUCUCCAAAAAAUAUAUGAUUGCCUGAUUGGUUAAAUCUUAUAUUUAUAUUACUAUCAAAUGGGCUAUAAUGACGAGCUAACAGCUAAGUAUAACGAAGCCAUGAAAUUACAAAAACUUUGAAUUAUUGAUGAAGCAUAAUUACCAUAAACUGAAUUAUUUCAUGAAUGCAUGCCACAAAUAAUAUGAAUUAUCGUUACUAUAUAGUGUGGCGGUAAUUCAAAUAAUAUGCUUGAUAUUUAUGUAGAUUAUUCGCUACUCUGUGGCCAAGCGAUGACAUCAGGAGGUCCUGUCUGGCCUGUCUGGUAAGCAUCCUGCCAUCCUGGUCACUGGGAAGCAUCACAGAGAAGAAGAGUCAGAUGCAUGGUGAUGAAGCAGGGCAUCUCUUUGUGAAUGCAUAAUUCUGACAUAAGCUAUGAAGCAGAAUAUGUACUGAUUGUUAAUAAUAACAUUCUGGCAACAAGAAUGGCAAUAUUGCCCAUGUAUGGUGACAAGGUGGAUGGAUUAGGAAAAGCAACAUGAAACUUGAUCGUGGCGAUAAAUAAACUCAUCCUACUCUUCUUCUAGAAAAAGAAGGCCAGGAGAAGAGAAAUUAUCAACCAGACGUGAUACGCAAGCUUUGAAAUAGGGUAUGGCAUCUGGUUCUGAGUGGGAAAGAGCACCCAAAGGAGUAACAGUGAUCUGGAAUAAACAAGAUACAUGUCUUAGAAGAUAUGUUGUAUAAGAAAAUGGAAGUCGUAUGGUAGCUAGGUCAUUCUUACGUAUCCAUCAACUAGGGACUUGUAGUCCAUUUCGUCUCCUUCCACUCCAUCGGCACUUCUCCCUACAAUCUGUAUGGAAUUCCAGCAACAAAAACUAUCACCAUGUAUCAACUCACCAUGUUUUAGCAAGCUAGCAUAAAAGAGGAACAACAAAAUGUCCAGAGAUCCACCAUGACAGAGACAAACAGCUAUCAUUUAUGAACAUAGGUAUUCCCCAUUUAUAAAAGUGUGUAAUAUCAAUAUCAAUAUCAAUAUCAAUAAUGCAACACCCAUCUAAAGUUAAUAGAUUAAAAUCAGGCUACAUCAGACCAUUAUGUUGAACAUCAGAAAAGUGAAUAGAAUGAUCAAUUCAAUUCUAAUGUUCUGGGGUAUCUAUCAGAUGUAGUUCAAAUGUGAUUGGCAGAUUGGCAUGAAGUUUGGAAAUGCUAACUUACCACUCUCUUAAACAGUAGGUCAUUUUCUGAAGUAACUAGUUCGCUAUCCUUUUCGCCAUCAACAUCCAUGUUUGCUGUCUGGUAACUUUCUACCGCAGGCUUCUUGUAAACCGUUUGCUCCCAACUAAUUCUGGCCAUAUAUGUUCCUUGUUUUGUAAUUUUGUAGCCCUAUUGACGACAAAUUGAAAAAACAUUUAGAUAUUCAAUUGUUCAUAAACAAAAAACAGGCAUAAGUAUUCUAAAGAUUUUGUAGAGGCAAAAUGCAUUAACAUUGAACAAUAAGUGGAACUCAGCAGAAUAUCAAAAUCUUUGACUCUGACAGGUCCUGGACCAUGCUCCAUAGUUCCUCAAUGUAUUUAGAUUUGCUUCCACUAUAUACAAGUUUUAAAUUUUAAUCCAAAAGUAUAAUUCAGAUCACUGUUGAAGAUUUACCUUGUGGUGUGCAGCAUCUGUUGGUACGUCUACAUUCAAGAAUGAUCCUUGAGGAUAAGUCCCAUUCUUGAUCUCAGUCACGAUAGCAUUUAUCAGAGGCAUGCAGACCUCUGCAGACACCUUGAGCUCAUUAACACUGCUCCGACCCGCAACCCUGUACAAUUGGGAGAUCAAACACAGUUCACUUUUUGCCUGACUGCAUAGAUUCAGCAAAUGGAAGGACAUGGUUGAGUGUUGGUGUAUCCAAAUAUUGAGCAUAUGUCUACACCGAAAUCGACUUUUAGGGUUUUCUUAAAUGAACACUAGUAGGGUUAUAUGAUAUCUGCGGUUCUGAUAUCUACUGAAAUUGCAAAAAAGCCUGUGGUAUUCGUAUAAUCAUAACAUGUUAUUAUUAAAUUUGAUAUGAAACUGGAAUUAGUUCAAUUUCCUGAGAAGAAUAAACAUAAUUAUUCCACAUAAGCACGCAUACAAAAGUUAACAAUCAUUGGUCCAUCCAUUUUCUAGAUCAACCAUUGGCCAAACAACUGGCUUCCCAAAAGGAAAAAGAUAACUAGGCAUCUGGUAUCACCAAAUAUCAAAAGUUACAGUCAUUGGUCAAUCCAUUUUAUAGGUCAACCAUUGGCCAAACAACUGGCUUCCCAAAAGGAAAAAAAGAUAAUUAAGCCGCUGGUAUCACCAGAUAUCAGUCAACUACUUCUAUGGUAGAAGUAGCUGUAUGUUUUAUAUUUUAGAUUAUAUUGUAUCACAGCAUUUGCCAACACUUCAGAGGAUUCAACAGAAAUUGAAAGCACACUACAGAGUAUGUAAUGAUUGUUAACCAUCUUCUUAAACUUUAUGGUCCAUUUUGCUUAAGAGGACUUUAGUCCCAACAUGAUAUACAACAUUAAAUAGCAUAUACUCAAGGAUGAAUGUAACAAUCAUUGAAGCCAGCAUUCUUAUGGUUUAAUCAGCAUUAAAACUGAAGAGCCUAUAUUCAUAUAGAUCAUUCUUCAUUCACAUGAGAUGCACAGCUCUAUAAUAAAGAACAAAAUUUUAUAUAAACAUAUAGAUAUUUUUGUCACCAAAUAACAAGCAGCUGCAGAGUGUGAAGAAAGUGGUUUUAACACUCCAGAUGAAAACACUGAAGAAAAACAUUGCAUACCAAUCAUAUGACAUAGAUAUCGCAGGAAUCCCAUAUAAGAAUGCCUCCCUAGCACCAGCAACUGUUCCAGAAUAAAUGCUGCAGAUUAAAAGCACAAAAACACUCAUAGUCAUUGCUAUAUACAUAUAUUUCUUUCUGAACCUAAAACCAAAGGUGUAUAAUUAGUUGUUACAAUUUCCAACAUAUAAUUUAGAGGACUUCUCAACUCUAGCAAUAUGUUUAAGAUCAUGUCUAUAGCGACAGAGAUACUUACACAUGGUACCCACAAUUGUUUCCAAUGUUGAUUCCACUAAGUACCUGCAUUAAGGAUCAUACAGAAUAGAAUAGGGCUGAAGUAUUAGCCAUGACAGACUAGAGUUAAACAAAGAAACUAUUAGUAAACAGAGUUUAAAUAAAAGUACAGAGUGAAUUUCUGGUGCAUCUAUGAAGAAACCUCAAAACUCACCAGAUCAGGAACCAAACCAUCAAAGAGUUUUCCAGAGAUGCCUAAAGAGGCACAGUCAGCAGGACUUCCUAACAUUGUCAGGAGAAAGCAUCGGCAUCAAGUAAUGCAUUUGAAAUUAGUAUGAUUCCAAAUGACUUAUAUGGGAAAGGCGGAAAGCUCAUACGAAGCAUCGGCGCAUCAAGUAAUGUCUUUGAAAUUAGUAUGAUUCCAAAUGAUUUGUAUGGGAAAGCUCAUAUGCAAUAGGUUGAUGGAAUCAAUGACAAACAAACCUGAAACUCCAAAUGCUGUAGCACCCGUUAUAUCAACACGUUUACAGCGGAGUGCAGCACGCCAUGUGAUGCUGUGGCUCACACCCGAUUUGUCUCUGCAUUUUUAUGAGAAGUAGGACAAAAAUAAAAAUAGUUAGGAAGAGGAUUGCUGCCAUAGGAUGAGCAUGACUCUUGGCCAACUACAACUAAUUAAAGACCAAAGACAGUUUUAAAUUUUCACGUGAAUAAAUAAUAACGCUCAAUUUUCAUUUCAGUUUCCUUCUGAGCAACCAUGUUUAUAAUAAGGUUAAAUGACAAAUCCAUUUCUGUGAAGAAAAAUAUUAACUACAUGGAUUGUAAUUGCAUCUCUUUUCUCCCUUUGGUUUAGGUACACCCAUAUCAUUGCUUUUGCAUCAAACUAGUCCCACAAAGGCACUUUUCGUUGGAAACAAACAGGCAACUUGAAUAGUGCAUUUGCAGCCAAUGGGUUUAAAAAAGAAACUUCAGCUAUGCCCAAAACGCCUCUAAACAUCGCAGGAAAACAGGAUUAAUUGAUAAGUUUGCUUCUCAAGGACAAGCUCGUCUUUCCUGUUCCUUAAUUUGUUUACAGCAAAAUUAGCCCUCACGAAUUCACAUCCAGAAAUGUACCAAAACAAAAUAAUUUAUUUUAUUUCAUUAUUCAAUUUAGAGACUAGGUGCCACUUACUGUAUUUCCAAAUAGAAAUUUGCUAUCCCAAAUUCCUCUUCUUCGCAGAAUGCCAGAAGGGGUAAAAAAAAUUCCCCACAAUUCUAGUUCUUUUCCAAGCCUACUACAUCCUCUCGAGAGAAAUCCCGUGAUCAUUCCACAGAAUCUACGCAAGGCACCGAUCGAACAACCAAGCAAGCAGGAAAUCGCAAGGAAGCGAGAGGGAUCGCGAGGCGAGUGAGGGAGGGAGGGCAGUUACGUGUCGGGCGCGCAGACGAGUACGCGGUACCGCCCCGCGGCGACGAGCUGGUCGACGAGGAAGCGGAGCCCCGGCGCGUCGAUCCCGUCGUCGUUCGUCACCAGCAGCACCGGCGCGGCCGCGGUAGCAGCAGCAGCAGCAGCCGCGGUGGAGUCCAUGCGAGAUGGGACUGCGAGCACGGCACGGGAUGGGGAUGCUUCCGUUUCCGUUUUUCAGGGAGAUGCUUCCGUUUCCGUUGGCGGCCACGCACGGCUCCCGUUCCCGUUCAUGGGCCUGUGCCGUACCGGCGCCGGUUGGGGUUUUUGGCUGGGGAGAUGCUUGCGUUUCGGUGGUUUAGUUCAAAAAAAAUUUGCAAAUAUUCUUCGUCACAUCGAAAUUUAUAGCAUAUGUAUAAAAUAUUAAAUAUAAAUAAAAAAUAACUAAUUAUACUGUUUAUCUAUAAUUUAUGAGACAAAUUUUUUAAGUCUAAUUAGUCUAUGAUUAGAUUAUAUUUGUCAAAUAAAAAUAAAAAUGCUACAGUAUUCAUUUUAUAAAAUUUUAGAACUAAAUAAGGCCUGAGAGUUGCUAGCAAUCGGUUAAACUCAAACUUCAGUUUUGGUUUUAAUAAAUUUUGGUUUUCACGAAACAGGUACUGGGUUGAUUACGGAAUUUAAAAUCAACGCAUUCGGUUUCAAUUUUUAUUUUGGUUUUUCGGUUUAAACCGAAGAACCAACCUGCUCUAUGUUGUGUUGCAUGAGAAGUUCAAAAGCUUCUCAUCCUGUGUUGGUCGCCCUGCUCUAGGAGCCACGAUUGUGCCACAUUCGCCUUGCGCUUCAAUUGCAGCCACUGCGCCCGCUACCUUGCCUUGCACACGCACUGCCGCUGCUGUGAAUGCAGCCCUCGCUCACGUCGUCACCACUCUCUAGGAUAGCUAUAUAGGGUCACGUCGCCACCACUCUCUAGGAUAGCUAGAUAGGGUUAGGGUAUGGAGACGUGGCCGUGUGGACUAGGAUGGAUGUGGAUGCGUGUUGGGCGUAUCUACGUAGGGCCAAGGAUUAGGGGAAUUGGACUUCGGUUGGACGCGCCACCGGCUCUUAGAGUUUGGUUUACAUGGUUUCCUUAGUUUAUUGUGCUUCCAGAAUUGAUAUUUCAAGAAACAAGAACCGAAUCCGAAACCAAAAAACCAAAAACCAAAAAAGUGACAUUUCUGUUCGGUCGGUUCGUGAUUUUCAGUGGAAAAGUGCAUAGCCUAAGCUCCAUCCUAGGGAUGUACGUUCUUGGAAAGCGAACAAUAUAGACAAGAAUCAAAUCAAGAUUUCUAAUUAAUUAGCAAAUUGAACAAAUGGUACAAAAGCCAUGAUGAAAAAUAUUAAGCUCGUGCUUGGCGCUACCUGAAUAAAAAAAAAAGCCAAACAAUAAGCUACUCCUUACACAACGAAGAAUUGAAAAGAUUAAAUAAACUAUUAAUAAGAAAUCCACCUACCUGAUCAUGCUCCGUGCUCGGCGCUCAGCUACGGCCUUGUUUACUUCUAAAUUUUUUUGCAAAAUAGAAAUAGUAUCACUUUCGUUUGUAUUUGACAAAUAUUGUCCCGGACUAACUAGGUUCAAAAGAUUCGUCUUGUCAAUUCCGACCAAACUGUGUAAAUAGUUUUUAUUUUCAUCUAUAUUUAGUACUUCAUGCAUAUGUCUAAAGAUUCAAUGUGAUGGGAAAUCUGAAAAAAAAAUUUGCAAAAUUUUUUGGGAAGGCCACUACAAGCUGCUGCUCGUGAUUAGAGUAGAGUUGAACCACAGCAUAACGAUACGCCUGAUGAUGACGUCUGGGCGGCUCUUUUGCAGCUGUGCACGGAGGACGGCGGCCUCGACCUCGAGUGGCAGGGAUCGCGUCUCUGCAGCACCAUCGAGGUUUUGGGCCCGUGCCCAGCGCCCGGCCCAGCGAGGUUUGGUUGGGCCCGCAUGCACGGUCAGGCUGGGCACCGUUGCGCCUGGGCCGUCCGUUCCGUUGCAGUACAUAUUGGCAACGGCGUUUUGGUUUUUUAAUUAGUCCCACAUCGCUUGCUUAAGCGGAUUACAACAGCGAGUCCUGCCUAUUUGUGAGAGCCCGUGGCGGGGCUUUGGAAGAUCACGCAGCUGCGCAGUGGAUACAGAGCGAACUAAUCUUUCGCCUUUUACUAAAGAUUACCGUGUGUCCGCUGCAAUAAGCAGCAUACGCUAAUUUUUUUGCAGGGUUCCUUCUCCUUGGAAGGAUCCAAACAAAUCCAAAUAAAUUUUGGGAUCCCAACAAAAUCCAAAUAAAAUUUGGAAAGUUCUGUGGUUGGGCUGCCAAACCGUUAGUUUGGACCAAAAGGCCUAGUAGACGCAAAGAGCCCUACGACACCACCUCGGCCUCUCUUCAAAUGUUGUUUGCCUAGGAUUCUUUCGUUUGCAAUGAUAACUUUUGUAAAGAAACUCCAUAUUAUUUCUUUUUUUCAAAAUAAAUAAGAGACUAGUAUGUUCGUUUGAGUUUAUCUGCCGAAUUUACCAGCCAUUCAGCAGUGGCUUUUCAGCCAAGCGAACAGGCCCACGCGUUUGAUAGGGCUUCUUGUCAAUUUCACAACCAAAUGCGAGUCAGUACAUCCGAGAAGAGGGGAGGGAGUAGAAGCUAAAACAUAUAGCUUGCUCUAGCUUGGCCUUAUGUAGGUGGGUUCCAAUAGGGCUAUGGGCAGAUUUUCCCCUACUGACGCUGAAUCUAGCGUGGGGGUGGAGUGGCCGGAUUGCAAGGCUAGUGCUAGGGCGAGAGGUGGUGACAUGAGAGAUUGCUAGCAUAGGAGUGGGCCUCUAAGGAUGAGGUGAGGGCGGGGCCAAGGAUCAUCAAUUCGCCAUCACAUCGAUGCCAAGGGCUAGGAGUCACCGUCACAUCGAGGCUGGGGCGGGUUGUUGUCACGCUGAGGCUAGGAUGGUCACCGUCGCACCGAGGCAGACCGCUGAGGAUGGGGCAGAAACGCGUCGUCGGGGUGGAGUUUGUUUUAUUUACAUUGUGGAGGUUCAUUUGGGCAACAGCGCCAGCGGCUGCGUGAGCAAAUAAGGGAAGGGAAGACGAGGAAAAGAAAAAAAAGAAAGAGGGUAAUAUGGGUAUUCACUCUUUCUAUCAGUUCAGAGAAGUUGUUUUACUAAGGCCUUGUUUAGUCGUGAAAAGUUUUUGGAUUUUGACACUAUAGCACUUUCGUUUGUAUUUGACAAUUAUUGUCCAACUAUAGACUAAUUAGGCUCAAAAGAUUUGUCUCGUAAAUUACAGAUAAACUAUGUAAUUAGUUUUUGUUUUCGUCUAUAUUUAGUGCUUCAUACAUGUACUAUAAAAUUUGAUGUGACGAGAAAUCUUCAAAAGUUUUUGAAUUUGGGGUGAACUAAACAAGGCCUAAAUGGUUCACCCACAACAAAUUCAACUUCACCUGUAGAGCUGCUUUUACAAACCAAACUAACAAAACCUAAUUUAUCAGUGAAGCUAAGCUAAACGAACCCUCUAUUAUGUAUCAUAUGACGUGGCAUUAUCUGAUAUCUCUGUAUUUUGUAAGGGCCUAGCUAAAACGUAAUGGUCUACCGUCCGUGGGCCUCUUUGUUAGCACAGCCUAGUGACGUUUUAGAUUCUCCAAUUUAUCUUCCGAACCAAAAUCCCUCUUUUAGUCGUGGCCAUUUUUUAUUAAAAAAAUAUUGUGUAGUGAUGUUGAUAUACGUACUUUUGUUAACAUGCCUCUAUUAGCUAGAUCAUGACCCUAUACUAUAUAAACAAGGCACUAGUUAUUGCUUGCCAAUAUUUCAUAUUCGUAUGCUCCAAAUAUAAACCUAUAUGCAAAUAUAAAACUCGAUUGCCACGCCCACGCAAGUCAAAUAGCCAGGGGUACUUAGACAUUUGUUCUCUCUUAGCCAUUCAUGACAAGACGAGAAAUUAUUUAGCAAACUUUUUUUUUUCAAAAUAGCUUCAGCUCUAUCACGGAAGCUACAAUUAAUUCAAACUGCUUUGGUUAUAGCUAGAGCUCUACUAAACACGCCGUAUAUGUUACACUAUUGCAUUCUUUCUAGUGGAAAUCACUUUUCACUGUGAUGCCUAUAUAUAUAUAGAGAUCAUAAACACCCGCAUUCUUUCUAGUGGAAACCACUUUUCACUGUGAUGCCUAUAUAUAGAGAGAUCAUAAACACCCUUUUUUUUAAUAAUACGGGAAGGUUGUGAUACUACAGAGUAUAAUGAUGAUUAUUCUUUUUUCGUAUGAAAAUUGUGAUUGUUGGGUUUCCUAGUGGAAGGGAUGUUGGGCGUGGAAAAGCUAAAGAUGCCGACCAUGGUGCUUCACCCACAACCGCGGAGGUAGACGAUAAGGAGCACUACCGCCCAAAACUCUAUGAACUGCCAGGUCGUUUCUUUAUUCAUCUUCAAUCUUCUACGGCCACACGGAGGGGUUUCCCCAAUAAGUAAAGGUCCCCCGUUUUGCAGCUCUAAAACAUUAUAACAGAUUAACAGGUGCUAGUGAAAUAUAUUUUGAUUUAUUCACCGUACGACUAUACAUUUCAGUUACAUAUAUGCACGCUCACUUAUAUCGAAGCAAGCACUAUCUCAUUAUUUAUUAUAGGAUCGGAUAAGCUAGCAUAAUUUAAGAUUGAUGAAGUUAUCACAAAAAAAUGUUAUCAAUUUGUCAUAUUGCUACAGUAAAAACAAUCUAAGCUGGGGUGAACAAACAUGCGGUUAGUUUACGGGCCAUUUGUGAGUUUUGAUUUGUGGUGUAAGCAAAAGAUUUUGUGUGUGUUAUUUUAGAGAUUAAUUUAAUAUCACACGUUAUCUAACAUAAAACAUACUUUUAGAAAAUGCUAAAGUUGCGUGCUUUGAAUAUAUUCUACAUGUAUAAUGCAUGAUCUCUUGAGACAACACAUUUUCUAGUGCAAACUCAUCAUCUAUUGCUUGCUUAGGAUAUGAGUACAUAUGCACUGCCCUUGCAUCUAUUGGUAUGAAUUCUCUUUUGAAUAUUUAUCUUAUACACUUUCGACUCCAAAUUUAAGUUCUUCUAAACUUUUUAAAAUACAUAGCUUUUACUAUGUUUGUAGACAUAACACAUACUCCCUCCAUACCCGUAUUACAUGUAGUUUAGGUGACCCUUCUGAUUUCAUAAAGGUUGACGUUGAGCGUGUAAACACCUGCACAUGGACGCGUUUGCCCCUGACCAACUUUUUGUUGGUGCAUGCACAGGGCUAGCUCCGCUCGACAUGCAAUUAAUCUCGGCCGCCCGGCCGCCCGUCGUGCUAGCGUCAAGGCACACUAAUUGCUUACAACACUCGCCUCCAGCAAAACCAAGCCCCACUCAAAACAAAUAGAGGCACACUAACUGCUUACAACACUCGCCUCCAGCAAAACCAAGCCCCACUCAAAACAAAUAAGUGGCUAUCGGGAAUCGAACGUAGCUUGCGAGAGUCAAGCUUCGAUACACUAACCAUCCGAGUGAAGAAAUUUCUUGUAUAAAGUGCACCCGCACCUCUAUUUAAUAAGGGCAAGGAUGGAAAGAUAACCCUUAAUUAAUCACUCCUUGGUAAGCACAAUCCUGUCCAAAAUGUCAACUAAUAUAGGUAUAGAGGGAGUAUCUAAUAGUAGCACUAGCACAUAAAAAAAGAUAUAUAAAAAAGAUAGAACAACUUACAAUUUGAAACCGAUAGAGUACAUAACAGCUUGAUAACUAUCCUAAUGACCUAUAAUAACAUUUGCGAUGAAACUCUUUUGACCUCUCUGGUACAACUUACAUGUUGUUUAUGACAAAAAAAAAAGAAAAAGCUAAAACAAGAAGCCAAACUACAUUUUUUUUGCCAUGGUUUUCCUAAAAUGCAUAAACCAAGUCCGGCUUAUCUUAACUACACUAUUCCUUUAUCCGUGCAGUUUUUCAAAACAAAAAGAACUUCUCUCCGUAGUCGCUGCUGUGCCAAAGAGACCCAAUAUUGGUAGGCACAAAAGAAAGUGCCGUUGUAGGAGUACAAAAUAAUGGGCAUGCCGUUGUGCACGUAGCAGAAAUGGUCUACGGCCGGGAGUGCCGUUUGCCUGCUUGCAACGAUGUGUAUUGUAUUGUAUUGUAUUCACCCAUUGGUGCGGCCUGGUGUUGCCACGACGCCAGCGACAAAUCCCUGCGCGACGGCAUCUUCGUCCCCCAUCCCCUUCCAGCUUCCCUCCUCCCAACUCCGCCACUCCGGCCCUCACACAAAUUUGUCCCGUCCCGACCACCGCUGCUGCCGCCACCCAUUCCCACCACCACCGCCCCACCGCUGCCGAGUGCUAGCCAUUCGGAGCAGCUUCGCCAUGGCCUCCGUGGCCGCCGCCGCCGCCGCCGCCACGCUGGCCCCGGCACUCGCGUGCCGGCGCCGGGCGCGGCCGGGGACGGGCCUGCUGCCGCCGCGCCGCGCCGCGCCCGCGCCCGUCCGCUGCUCGCUCGACAGCAACGUCUCCGACAUGGGCGUCAACGGUGAGGCAACGGGAUCCUUCCUACUCUUGAUUUGGUCCGUCGUAAUCUUCCCUCCUCUGCUCUCCUGGGACGAGGAACUGUCAAUCCUUGUGCAAUCCCCAACACUGUAGUUCCAGUGCCCCCCCUUCGGCUGUAAAAAGUUCGUCUUUUUGGGUGCCACAAGUCAAACUCUAUGCUUAAUUGACUUUGCCUAUCGAUAUAAUUAGAUUUUUUUUCCUUCUGAAAAGUUGUUUCAUGAUAUUACAAUUAUGCAGUGACUUUUAUAAAUAUGUUAUACUAGCAGAAAACAGUUAUCAAAGUUCUGUCAGAAAUGUUUUCUUUUGUGACCAAGGGUUUAGAGUCUGGGUAGAUUGCUCCAAAUUUCUAUGUUUGUCCUGUCAGUUCUGUUUCAUUUAGAGAACUUUUGGUUGAAAUGCCAUACUGGCUGCAAACGAAAAUGCUGAAACAAGAACUGUUUCCAUGUGUGGCAGCUCCCAAAGGGUUAUUCCCACCCGAGCCGGAGCACUACAGGGGGCCGAAGCUCAAGGUGGCCAUUAUAGGGGCGGGCCUCGCCGGCAUGUCCACCGCUGUUGAGCUCUUGGACCAGGGCCAUGAGGUUAGCAGAUUUGUUGUCUUCAGCAGAGCUAAAUGUUUUCUUAUGCAGGAAAAUCAUUGCUUUCUAAUAAUCUUACUUCUUUCUAAUCACCCUGGUUGGGCUGGGUAUGGUUUGUCCGGCUUACAGGUUGAUUUGUACGAGUCCCGCCCGUUUAUUGGUGGUAAGGUUGGCUCCUUCGUUGAUAAACAAGGAAACCAUAUCGAGAUGGGGCUGCAUGUGUUCUUCGGGUGUUACAGCAAUCUCUUCCGCCUCAUGAAGAAGGUACAAGCCCUUGUACAUUAAGCUCACUGGAAGUAUACUGAAAUUCUUCCUUACUUAGAUAUCAACAUGGUUAGUAUAAAUUAUGUCAUGACAACUCUGAAUUAGUUUUAAUCCAAGAAAUUUUUGAAUUGGAUGUCUUUGGACCUCCUGGAGUGAAGUAAACUUACAGUGAGAAACAUGUUAGCCAAUUUGUCCAUAUGAACCAAAAUACCAAACAAUUUGGUGCCUUGUUGAGCAUGGUAUUACUGAUUUAACAGCGAUAAAUUAAACCUUGUUGAUUUUCAGGUUGGCGCUGAUAAUAAUCUGCUGGUGAAGGAACACACCCAUACUUUUGUAAAUAAAGGGGGCGUGAUUGGUGGUAGGUUCAACUACCCUAUACACAUCCAUUUUUUGUGUAGCAAUUCUCUUAUGCUGGAAUAUUUAAGUUAUUUAUUUGUUAUUACUUCUGGAGUUCUGUACCCAUCAUAGAGUAGAAAAGUGCAGAACUUCCAAUGUGUUGAAUAUUAAUUACUAGUAUUCAAGUUGACUAUGUGCAAGUACUAUAUUGUUGUUGCAUAUCGUUUUAAGGGAUUCAUUUGUAUUUUCUGAGAAACAAGAAUGCUUAUGCUGCCUGCAGUGGUGAACUAUUUACUUAGUCCUGCAUAAUAUUCAUCUUCAAUUAAGACAGCAGUUACAUGACGUUGUGUGCCACAUUGCUUACUUUGGAAGUUGGCUGAAAUAGCUGUAUCAUACUUCUUUGUAUAUUUUUGUAACGUAUUUAUGUAAAUUUUCAUAUUGUUUGUGCUGCUAUACAGAACUUGAUUUUCGGUUCCCGGUGGGAGCUCCAUUACAUGGCAUUCAAGCAUUCCUAAGAACUAAUCAGCUCAAGGUAAACUCAUAAUUUAGUACUACUAUAAUUCUAAAGGAGAAUCUCAACUCAUGACAUUAUUUUAGCCUUCAGUUUGUUUAUGAGCUUUGUUCAAUUCCACACUUCCCAAUAUGACAAUACUUCAAGAAAUAUGGUUUAGUGUGUACCUUAUAUUUAGGUAUACGUCUUUUCUUAAAAUCUAAAUUGCAAACCUUUGCUUCUAAGUUCUUUCCUUUAGACAUUACUGCAAUUCCCUUUCCCUUUAAUAUGUGUGACCGAAUGGAUAAUCUUUUGUGGGAAAACUAAUCAGUGUAAAAAAUUCUGGGCUCGAAAUAAAGGUUGAAGUCUUGUCAUUCGUCAAUAUCUUUAAUUAACCACGUGUUACUUGAGAACAUAAUUACAUGUGUUAAUCUUUAAUAUUUAAAUUAUUUUGCAGGUUUAUGAUAAAGCAAGAAAUGCAGUUGCUCUUGCCCUUAGCCCAGUUGUUCGGGCUCUGGUUGAUCCGGAUGGUGCAUUGCAGCAAGUGCGGGACUUGGAUGAUGUAAGUAUCCCUUGCUUUUAUUUCAGAUUCAUUAGGAGUGUGCAUCUAGGGCAUUCUUUUGCAGUAGUCAGUAUCUUUUCCAAGUGCUUUCAUUCUAACUCACUGAUAACUAAACUUUUUGUCAUUUUUUUUCUCAAACACUUGUCAAUUUAAAUCUAACCUAUUUCAGGUAAGUUUCAGUGAUUGGUUCAUGUCCAAAGGUGGUACUCGGGAGAGCAUCACAAGAAUGUGGGAUCCUGUUGCUUACGCUUUGGGUUUCAUUGACUGUGAUAAUAUCAGUGCACGUUGCAUGCUUACUAUUUUCACCUUGUUUGCCACAAAGACAGAGGCAUCCCUGUUACGCAUGCUAAAGGGUUCACCUGAUGUUUACUUAAGUGGCCCAAUAAAGAAGUAUAUAACAGACAGGGGUGGUAGGUAUGGUUUCACAGACAAAGUUUUUCUUGUGAAAUUUCUAUGUACUGCUGCAGACUUGAAGACUUACAUCAUAUGACAAAUCCUUCAGGUUUCACCUAAGGUGGGGAUGCAGAGAGGUUCUCUAUGAGAAAUCACCUGAUGGACUGACCUAUGUUAAAGGCCUUCUCCUCACCAAGGCAAGCUUUCUUAUCAGUGUAUCACUGCUCUCUUUUGCACGAUUAUGUAGCCUUUAUUACUAAAAUUACACUCGUUUGGACAUUUUUAGGCUACAAGUAGAGAGAUAAUCAAAGCCGAUGCAUAUGUUGCAGGUUCUUUUUCUUGUUUGUCUUCUGUUUCUUCUUUUACUAGCAUGUCCAACCAUACAAACCUAACUUGGUGCUUCUAACUUCACAGCCUGUGAUGUUCCGGGUAUCAAAAGACUACUUCCAUCAGAAUGGAGGGAAUGGGAAAUGUUUGACAAUAUCUACAAGUUAGAUGGUGUCCCUGUUGUCACUGUUCAGCUUCGCUACAAUGGAUGGGUCACUGAACUUCAAGAUUUGGAGAAAUCAAGGUAGCUGAAGUAUCCAGUAUUUUUUUUUUACAACUUUGGUACUUAUUUGGUUAGAUCUGACAAAUUUAAAUGCACGGCACCCAUAAUUUAAGCUUAAAUGAAGAUUACUUAUGUUUGUGCAAAAAGAUUUUUGUUCAAAUGCAAAUUACAUUCUGCCAUGCAUGCUCAUUGAUAUUUAUUCUUAUAUUUGAUGAAGACAACUGCAAAGGGCGGUUGGGUUGGACAACCUUUUGUACACGGCGGAUGCAGACUUUUCCUGUUUUUCAGACCUUGCUCUCUCAUCUCCUGCUGAUUACUACAUUGAAGGACAAGGUUCCCUGAUCCAGUAAGUUACUUUUUUUUAAUUAUCAAAUUGAUUUCUCGCUCUGCAAAUGUAUUCACCUUCCGCGCUUAAUUCAUCUGCAGAGCUGUGCUGACUCCUGGCGAUCCAUACAUGCCAUUGCCAAAUGAGGAGAUCAUUAGUAAAGUUCAAAAGCAGGUAGGUUUGUAAAUAGCUUCUGUUUUGGUCAAAUUUCUGCUAUUCCCUUUACACAUAACUAAGCAAAGACCUCAUUUAAAAAGCACUUAAAAAAAGAGAGAUUUCUUCUGCUCAUAUUAUUUUAUAUUCUUCGAAAACUCAGCUCAGUAACAAAAUGUAUGUAAUUUUCCCACAGGUUGUAGAAUUGUUCCCAUCUUCCCGGGGCUUGGAAGUUACAUGGUCCAGUGUGGUAAAGAUUGGACAAUCGUUGUACCGCGAGGCUCCUGGAAGUGAUCCAUUCAGACCUGAUCAGAAGACGCCUGUUAAAAACUUCUUCCUCUCCGGAUCUUACACAAAACAGGUAUUGUACAUCCAAACAUUGAGCUAGUUUCAGCCAUCAACAGAAAUCAGUGGCUCAGAAAACCAUCAGAUAAUGUUUGAAGUUGAACACCUUGGAUUUAUUUUAAUCGAUGGCUCAGAAAUAACCAUUUCAAUAUUAUGUUGUCUGAACACCUUAGAUCUUUUUUUCUACUACUACAGAGUAGGUUGCAACAUGUAAACAUCUCUAGGACAUGGUAAAUGAAGCAUAAAUUGAUGAUCUUAAUUGUGCUGCACAGGACUACAUUGACAGCAUGGAAGGAGCAACUCUCUCUGGCAGGCGAACAGCUGCCUACAUCUGCGGCGCCGGAGAGGAGCUGCUGGCCCUCCGAAAAAAGCUAGUCAUCGACGACAGCGAGAAGGCGCUGGGGAACGUCCAAGUCCUGCAGACUAGCUGAACAACCACCCCCUGCAGACAAGUUUAACCUUUCCAACCACACAUGCUGGAAUGGCCAAAUCAUGUCUUUUCUCGCUUCAGGGUGCUGGCGAUUCCCGCAGCGACCUCCUGUAUAUCCAAUUUGAGCAUUAGAUCUGUCCCCCUGCAGGCGUUUCCUAUCCCUGAAUUCGAAAAGCAGGGUGUCUAGGUGGCAUACGGGAUUACAUCAGGCAGUGUGUAAGUUGUUGAGCUGGAACUCGAUUGGUCAUUGGGACGAUUGAUUGGUGAUAUGAUACAUACAUAGCGCACACUGUUCUUGCGUCUUGCAAAGAAAUAUAGCAAGCGAUGAUCCGGGGUCAAUUGCCGGAACAUUUUACCAGUGAUCUUAAUUCAGUUUGUUUAUGUGGUUUUUUACAGUAUACAAACAUCAUAUUAUCAGCUCGAGCUAUCCUCCCCUAAAAAAAAAAAAGCUUGAGCUAUCCUGCUAAGGCCUUGUUAGUUCCAAAAUUUUCUGCAAAAUGAACACUAUAACACUUUCGUUUGCAUUUGAUAAAUAUUAUCUAAUCACGGAUUAACUAGGCUUAAAUAUUCGUCUCAUAAAUUACGUGUAAACUGUACAAUCAGUUUUUUUUAUUUAUAUUUAAUGCUUUAUGCAUGUGCCGUAAGAUCCGAUGUAACGGAAAAUUUGAAAAAUUUAGCAAAAUUCUUUGAGAACUAAACAAGGCCUAACUUUGUUUCGUAUAUGAAUAUAUAUUUCGGUUCUCGUUAGGCCAUGCGCAUUUGAAAUAUGGUUUAUGGAAAGCCGGCCGGCCGGUCGCUGCGCUGGAAACCGAAAGUCCGAAACCGGUCAGUUUCCGGCGUUGGCCUCCGCCGUCGACGAGUGGAGGCAGUGAGUGACAGUGGGCAGUCGGAGCGUGUCCCUCUGGAGGCCUCACGACCUGCUGGCUUCUGACGGCCGCAAGCUCCUGCGGUCCGUGUGGUUUCCCUGAGCAAGAGCGAACAGCAGUUGCCGGCUGAUGGCGCCAGCGGCAGCCGUCGGACCGUCCCUGGCCCGGCCAUCGAGCAGCCACCCGCGGCGCGCCGGCAGCGUCCUCCUCCGGCCCGUCUCCGUGCAGCAUGUCUUGCUUCAGGGGCGGAGGCGUCGCCACCGGCGCCUGACGGGCGUCGUCCCCGUCCGUGCCGCGCCGGACGCGCCGCCGGUGGUCAGGGCGGCCGUCAGCGCCGUCACCGAGCUCCUCAGAGCCCUUUCCCCAAACAAGAACCUCAGGUAGCCUCUCACUCAUCAAAGAUUCAAGCCCAUCAUCCGCUCUGGAAUUUGGAUUCUGUGAGGCGCUCGCUCUUGGCUUGGCUGUGCAGGGAUGCUGCCGCCCAGCAGCAGGGGGAGGAGCCGGAUUCGAGUCCGCCGCGUUGCGGCAGCGUCGAGGACGUGCUCGCCGUGCUCCAAGACGAUUACCGGCGCGCCUACUUCCUCACCGGUACGGCCUUCUUGCACCUUCGUUCUUCCAUCAGGGAUUGUUUGGAUCAUGGGCAUGGCGGCUGCUAGAUUGCGGAGCUGCUGAACUUGACACUGACAGAACUGUGACAUUGAUGCAUGCGUGCGCCACUCAGCAUGACACGGAUUGUUCAAAGAAAAUGGUAACCAACUCCUCUAGGAUUAAUUGCAGGGGAUUUCACUCCGGGCAUAUACACUGCAGACUGCUUGUUUGAGGAUCCGACGAUAAAGUUCCGCGGUGUGUAAUAUAACGUUUCUCUUUGCUGAUGAACAUAGUUGGGUUACUUGUACUAUCUGAAAAAGAAGAGGUGAGAAAUCUGUGACAAGGAGUGUGUUCUUGCUCCUCGUGUAGGACUUUCUAGGUACUCUCAGAAUCUGUACCUGCUAGUGCCGUUCUUCGACAGCCCUUCGCUUGAACUGGAGAGCAUUGAGAAGGUAGCCACUCCAUUUGUUGACUGGAACUGGAAUCAGUGAUUGUUUGCAGUAAUCUCCUAGCUGAAUCGAACAUAUUUAGUCAAUACUGUUAUCCGAGAAAAAAAAAGAGGAGAGUAUGAGCAUAUGAUACAUACUGAAAUGGCCCUUUCAUAUCUCGCAGGGUUUGAGGGUUGAAACAAAGUUCGUCAAAGCAACAUGGAAACUAAGGUGCUUCAAAAGAUAUAAUACUGUUUCUAAAUAGUGUACCUAAAUAGAGUAGAGUUGUCUUUUCAGGACAUAUUUGAGGCUUCCAUGGAGGCCCCUGAUUGCGAUCAGAGGGAACACAACCUAUGAUCUGAAUGAAGAUUUCAAGGUAGCAGCCGGGGAAAUCAAAAUUGUGUAAAAUUAUAUACCUCUGUUUACGUUUGAUGGGAUUUUGAAAUACUCCUGUAUUUGGACCGUAUUUGUUCAGGUGAUUCGGCACUCUGAGAGCUGGGACGUCUCUGCGGUUGAGGCCAUCGCUCAGAUCUUCGUUUCGGCCCCGGAGCAGCUGGAAGGCAGCUGAGGCUGAAGCACCACGCAUGCAUGAUCAGAAUUCAGAAAUACAGUAGUAUGCAGCGUCAGAGAUGAGCAAAUGUCCAAAGCCGCUGUCAAAGCUCUGCUUUUCAGAAAUCAACCAGCAAUGUUGAAUUUGUCUUUUCUGUGCAAAUAAAUCGUAUAGUUAUUUGAUUCGACCGGUGAGAGCAAGGGUUGUACAGGAAGGGAGUUGGUGACCAACACAUGGGCGCCAUUUGAUUUCAGUAUCCAUUUGAACAGUCUGGGCAAAAUGUUUGAAAUUUACGCGAAAUCAUAGAUCAGAUCAGCUAGUUGGAUAUAUAUAUAUAUGGAACCUGUUCUUAGUCCCUGACUUAACACAGGUGCUCGUAUUUUUCUAGAUUUAUUUGAGGAUUUAACGGUGCUAUGCUUUCAGUGAUAGGAGACAUGCCCGUCGACAGCGAGACACUUGUAGUGACUUUGUCCAUCAAGAAAUUUGUCAGUUUAACUUAGUUCUUCAGAGAUGCUCAUAGAAUGCGUAUGUUCAAAGAGGUAAGUAUGCGCUUGUGUAUAUGAGAGUCUACGUCUAUAAUUGGCUCUCGCAAAAAAAAAAGUUUGAAAUUUACAGGAUUUAAUUAUUUGGUCUGGGUUAUGACAUGAACUCCUAUGUUCUGGGUACAAAAAAUUUAAAUCUAACCAUCUAUGAAAUUUAUUUAUAAAUAAAAAAACUGAAUCUUCUAUUACAAGCAAAAAUCAUCUUAUUUGCUUAAACUUAUCAGUCAAGAGUCACACUUUUCUGUGCUUACCAAAAUGGGCCGGACGGCCUGGCCCAGUGGCCCUGGCCCGUCUUGUGCCCAUGCCCAUCCUCCUGAAGCUUCUCCGGCCUUCUCCGUCCCCGGAAUCCCCAUCCCCACUCCCCGCCGAGCACCAAAACAGUUUGGCAGGACGCCCGCCGAGCGGCGAGCCGCCGAACAUCACAAGCACACACGAGUGACGAGGCCGCCAACCUUCCAGAAGCUUCGCCAAAGAUGCUCUCCAAGCUGUCGGCGUGGUUCUUGAACCCGCGCCGGAACCCGCUCGCGCGACUCCACCGGAACGCCAUCGCUUCCCGCCUCCGCAAAUACGGUCCGUUCCCUCAAUCCCGGCCUCCUCUUCCCCGCGCCCACUAGGUGCCUAGGGUUCCGUGCCAAUCCAGCCAGUCGGCCGCGGCUCCCCCAGCUAGAGAGGUUCGCCGGCGGUCCUGAUCGGUUUCCUUGCUGUCGUCGUCGGUGCACAGGGCUCCGGUACGACGACCUGUACGACCCGUACCAUGACCUGGACAUCAAGGAGGCGCUGGCGCGGCUGCCGCGGGAGGUGGUGGACGCACGCAACCAGCGACUCAAGCGCGCCAUGGACCUCUCCAUGAAGCACAAGUACCUACCCGACGACGUCCAGGUCAGGACAGGAGUCGUGCUUGUUCCUCCCUCUGUAAUAUGUGUCAUGCAAUUGGGGAAGAAAGCGAUUUUAGUUUUAGAUAAUUUCAUUUGGGUUGGGUGGUGGUUCGUCUCAGUUGCCAUUUUGAGUUUAGGUGGAUUCCUAGGAAUUGGAUGCACGAUAAUUGAGUUGUAUGAUCGACUUAGGUGCUUCUGAAGUUGAGAAAAAUGGAAGAGAAUAAACUGCCUAGUCGAACCUAGUUAUCAGCUGACUAACCGCGAUUACUCAUCGAUCAGGUCCGAUUAGUAGGUGGCUAGUCGGCGAUCUAGUAGUAUAUUCGUCCUCUCUACUUUCCCUGCUACCUAUGAUGUAUAAAGUUUAACUGUAUAAGUUUUAAAUAGUUAAAGCUCUAGUAAGCAGUGAAGUACUAGUACUAAACUAUAGAACCAGUGCACAAGUGUGCACUGCAUAAUGACAUUAUUAUGAUAAAUUAGUAAAAAAAGUAAGCAUCAAGCAUGGUUGCUUACUUGUUGGCCACAAACAGAAAGCCCAAUGCCCGAGUACCCCCAAGCUAGCAGACCAGCUCACAAUUUUAUCUCCAGUCUAAUUGUUUGUCCCGGACAACUAAUUGUGAUUAGUCGUCCAAUCAAAUUUCUGAACACACUAGUUGCUUUGGAGCGCCUAAUUGAGGUCCAUGGAUCAAAUAAGCUCAAUUAAUCUCAAUUAGUCAGAUGAGUAGAUGACUUAAUAACACCUGAAGGACAGAGCCUGUUUGGUUGGGUGGCUAACUCCUAACAAGGCUUCACAGAGCCACCUUCCAAUUGUUGGUGAUGUGUCACCUCUGUUUUGCCACCCCCCUGUUGGCUUUUUAGUCCUUUUUCAGUAUGUCUUUUUGCAGUUUAUGGUGGUGAUUUUAUUUUGGUGGAUUGUCACGUUGAUUAGAUGUACUUUCAAGCGAGGGGUUUGAGUCAUGAAUGGUAUAACAGCUGAUUAUCAUUGGUAAACAAGGUGGUUCCUAAACAUCGCUUUAGAUGCUUGUGAAAUGGAAAAGGUGGCAAAUUUAUCUAUAGGUGAUGUGGGUGUGGUUUUCUGCUUGUGACGUGUGUUGUUAUAUUUAUUUCAAUGUCUGUUUUGCUGUGACAAGUAUACAAGGACUGUGUUUUUCUCUGUUAUUUUUUAUGAGAUAGUGAUGAUUUAUUCGAAGCAGUUAGAUAUAUAUUAUAUAACUCGUUUAAGUGGCCAAAUUCAUCUGAAAUCCACCUAUGCCUAUUGUUUAGAUACUGCUAUUUGGUUCUAUUUUGAUUAUCUGACAAGCAUAAAUUUAAAAUGGGCACUGAUUUGUCAGCCCCCACGAGAAUUGCUAUGACACUUCUAGAAUCCAUUGAGACAUAAAUGUAUGCAUCAAAUUUAUUGGCACCUUGAUUGCUUUUGACAGGCUAUACAGACGCCAUUCAGGAGCUACCUUUCUGACAUGCUUGCUCUUGUGAGUGCAUUUCUUUCUCCUUAUCAUUCCGUUUCUUCCUAGAUUCAGUUAAUAACUUGACUAUCUGUUAAAGCUUUACAUAACUUACUUUACAAGCGUAGUUCUACAAAAGUAGAACUUGGGUGAAGUAUUAUUACAAACCAUCGUUAUAGGAGCAAACUUAACAAUAUUACAAAGUUUACAACUUAAAGACCCAGCCACGGGUCACUCUCAUUCCUCAUCGUCGUCAACCUCAACGACGGUCAUGCAACAGGGUCCGAAGCAAGUCGGCUCCUGUGCCUCACCUGCAACAGGGGUUAAAGAACCCUGAGUACGGGAGUACUCAACAAGUCUUACCCGACAUAAAAGAGAAGAACCUUAGGAAUGCAGGUUUAGGAUAGAUAAAGGGUGGCUAAGCAAGGAACCAAGUUGUUUUACAUAAAAGCUUACUAAUAGUGGAUCCUUACUUUCAAAGUUUUAGCCUCCAACAUACCACCUCGAGAGGCGGACGAAUUCGAGGAUAGUCUAUCUAAGUUGUUUUUCACGGACGAGUCCGUGAAUCACUAAUCCCUAACAAGAAUAAUAUUUUUUCGACGGACAUAGUUUCUUGUCGCCAUGAGUCCGGGAAUUGGGAUCCAAACUCCAUGAGACAUUUCCAUCCUUUCCAUUUCUUAAUUUAGUUGCAUUAUUAACUACGAUGAGGGUCGAAGGAUUGAGUCUCCCAAUCGGGGAGCAACGACGAUUCGAACCGCUUAACAAUUCAGCUAGAGUUCCUUACCACCUGACAUAUGUAGGACCGAAUCUUGCAUAUGUCAACCCAAAUCCCACUUUCCCAAGAUCUGACCGGGUUCGCGGCAUCCGAGAGCAUAGUACUCCACCGUCCAGCCCAUUUGCUAGAAGGGUACAUGCUACUCUUGUCAUCGCUCCAUGCCCAGUGCGUGAGUAGCCACUCUCGUCGAGGAAUCACCAAGACAGGGCUUACCAGGGUAGGUGGCCAGUACUAUAAGGCCUUGUUUAGUUCAAAAAAUUUUCAGAUUCUCCAUCACAUCGAAUCUUUUGGCACAUGUAUGGAGCACUAAAUAUAGAUUAAAAAAUAAUUAAUUGCAUAGUUUAUCUGUAAUUUGCGAGACGAAUCUUUUGAGCUAGUUAGUCCAUGAUUGGACAAUAAUUACCAAAUACAAACAAAAUCCAAAACCAAAAAUUUUCAUGAAUUGAACAAGGCCUAAGUCUCAACCCAGCAGGCCAUCAACGGACCAGUCCUUAACCGACACAGUUGGAGACACUACUUUAGGACUCCAUUCCUAAAGCAAGUCCACCGAGUGGUCUCGAGUUGAGACAUCAUUAACCAUAAAAAUAUUCCACAACAACCCUUUAAACUUUCUUAUUUGAAAACCUAUCUAAUAAGCAGGGCUAAGCAUCAGUACGCUGUUUUAAAUAAAACAGGUACCAAAGAUAAGAUAACAAAUAGCAAGGUUGUAGUGCAACAAUUAGGUUAAACCCAAUUCCUGAAUACGUAAUGGAACAUUUUUAACUCAUAAGUGAUAAAAGGUUUAAAAUAUUCAAGGAGGAGUUAAUGCAUCCGGGGCUUGCCUUGGUUGCAGAGGUGAGUGGUUCCCUCGGAGACUUCCCAAGUCUUGGUUUUAACUUCCUCGGACGGAGCACCAACCUCGGGGUUCGAUCCAACGGUCACACUUUCGGACAUGUGCACUAUACGCAAAAAUGAUGUAUGCUCAUGAUAUGCUUAUGACAAACAUAUGAGAAGGAUUUAGUUGAGUACAAUUUUCCUUCUCAGUACAAAUGCAAGUUAAAACAGUAAUUAAAGAUUGUUUACCUCUUUAGUAUUUUUACCUAAGAGGUUGCAACAAUAAUCUAAGAGUUUUCUUAAUUUACAAUUAUUCUUAAAUAAAUUACUCAUUAAUUUAUUUUAUUUUAAUUAAUUCUUAAUUAAGCAUAAAUAAUAGUAAUUAAGCACUAAUAUCAAACAAUAAUUAAAUGCCCAACAUCAUUAAGGUUAAUGACCCUAGGUCAUCACACAACCCCAAAAUCACUCAAAUCCUAAUCUGGAAUUUAAGCUAAUUAUUAUCUAAUUAUUCUAGGAUUAUUAUUUAAUUACUAAUUAAGAGUAUAUUAAUAUUUAAUCAAAUUCUAUCAAAAGCCACCAAACUUUUUGUGAAGACACGGAAUAACAUACUUCACAAAUUUUGGUGAUUUUUCGAUACUUCCUAAAAAAUAUGGAAGUUCUAUUUAUUAAAUAAAAGACAUAAUUUUAAAACAUGCUUAACAUAUCAGAAAGUGAUAUCUAGUAUUUUUCCAAUGCUCUACUCACUGCAAAAAUUUUCAUCAUUUUUGAUCUGCACAUAUUUUUUUACGCAAAAUCAAUCAUAAAUCAAUUUUUUUAAAAAAGAAAAAAAAAUCAGCACUGUUGCCAAGGCCGGCCCAGCAACUCGGCCCGCUUACCGAGCACUGUAGCCCGUGACGUGUUCCCCCCCUUGCCGAGCACUGUAGCCAAGCUUAUCUCCCUCUCUGUCUUUUAAAAUUACUUCAAAAUUUUGAAUAAAAGUCAAAUUUCUGUCAAAAAAAGAAAGGCUCAAAAUUUUGAACUCUACAAAACAUAUUUAAGGACCCCAAGCCAUUUUGAGUGGAAGAAGAUGAAUUUGAUCAAAACAGUUUAAAAUUCAAAUUCCAAUUUGGUGGCAAAUCCAAUUUGAAUUGGGGCAAAACAAAGAAUCUAAAAUUAUUUUUGAUUUUUCUCAACAACUUGAAAAAUUUACAAAAUAAAAGUUGUUCACUUUGAAGAGCUCUACAGCUUUCAUUUUGGUCACCUUUCAAGAUUUCAAAUAGAUUUUGAAAUAGGGAUUCAAAUUGAAAAGGGGACAAUUGUUGGAAAUCUGUAUUUUUAAAAUUACUUUGAAUUUUGCAUUGAAACUUCAAAAACUCAAAACACCAAAGUUGUACAUCUUGACAAGAUCUACAACUUUGCUUUUGAACUCAUCCCAAAAUUUUGCUUAAUUUUUAAGUUGCAGAAAAAGGGGUAGAAUCUAGGGUUGAAACUAGGGUUUUUCUUACAUAUUUCCUUACAACCCUCGGAUUACACAACCAUCACAGGCAUCACUUUACAAGAUAAACACACUUUAUUUCUCUAAGCACAGUCAACCAAAUUAAACUUAUUUUUAGUUGAUGCAUCAUGAUGUGCUUAAUAAAUAUGCUUUGCAAUGCUUAUGAUGACAUGAUCAAGUUUUAGUAUCCGUAAUAUCAGGAUGUUACACUAUACUGCAUUUCUCAUGAUUCUUUUUCUUUCCAUACUUGUCUUCUGCUUUCUUCUACCAAUAUAUCUUAAAUACUUAUAUAUUGUAUAUAUAUCUUCAUUGCAUGGGAUCUUGCUAGUUUCUCUUUUCCCUCUUCCUUAGCUUGUUAUAUUGUGUAUUACUGAAUUCAUUUUCUGUUAUCAAAUCACCGUAAAACAUUGGUGCAUAUGAUUAGUGAGAAAAUAGGCUUUGUGAAUUAUUAUUAGAUUCUACAGCGAUCAAUAUCCUCAUCUGAUGGCAUUGAUGCAGAUAUCUGAUCUCAUGUUAACGUCCAUAAAUUUAAUAAAGAAAAAAAACUGCACUCUAGGCAAUGGAAAUUUUCCUUUUCCAUAAUCUAUUCACAAACUGUCCAUUAUAUGUGUAUUAGUCUACACUAUUGAAAUGGUGAUCAGAUGAUCAUUUAAAGCAGAUCAGUCUGACAAUGUGGUGGAUGUGAUUUGUGACUUCCUAUUAUGAGCUUCUUUUGAUUUUACUAAUUCUCACUUGAUUAUGCUAGAAUUUGUUGCCAAACAUAUCCUUGGGAGUGUAACUUGAUGCAUAUGCAUCUGCAGUACUUUUCUGAAUAAUAUCUGUUCAGAUUCAUGCCUAGUUGAAGAUAUUACUAUGGUAAAAUUUAUCAGAGAACCAUCCCUAGAUGGUUGGUGUCUAAUGCAUCUGUAUUGCAGGUGAAAAAGGAGAGCGCAGAGCGUGAAGCAUUGGGAGCGCUUCCACUCUACCAGAGAACCAUCCCAUAAAGCGCCUUUGCAUGAUCCAACAGUGCACGCCAUGGUCAGCAGCGUCUUGUAGUAUAAUGUGUAUUGUUUCUUUUCCCAGGAAAUACUAUGUACUAUUAUGUUUGGCAGCAAAAAAUAAAAAAGACAUAUGUUUUACUGACAUUUUGGUAUAGAAGUCUACAUGGUUAUGCACAACUGUUUUCGCUUCAGUUGAACAACUUGCCGUUGUCCUCUCGUAGUCCUACAACAAUAUAUGGUCGAUGAGAUGUAUAUUUGUGUAUUUACAAAAUUCUGGAACUGUUCGGUUCACUUCGCGAACAGAUAUACUGUACUGAGGUCCCUCAUGUCAGAUGCACUGUGCAAUGUUUUGUGUCAGCUAUUGCCAUUGCUCAUUUACAUUUCAAUUUGCCGGGCUGCGAAUUCAGAAUCCUAUAUGAUCUACCGGCCUGACUAAUGGGCGUCGUACAACGGCUCAAAUUUGUCACCACAAGAGGUCGGCCCAGUACAUGGAAAGGUCGAUGCUGCUAGGAAAAAAGUCUAAUUUUCCUCUUUCAUGAAAGCCCGCCUUUUCUUCCUCAAUUCCAAAACCGGACAAAUCACCUCCUUCAACUUUUCAAACCGUAUAUUUUACCUCUUUGGAGCGGUUUCGAAGGCGGUUUUACUACAGUAAAUAAUGGUUAUGCUACAGUAAUAGUGGUUUUGUCUUUUUUUAAAUUAUUUCGGCUGAAUCUUUGAAAAAUCAUAGUAAAUCAUAGAAAAAAAUCAUAAAAUGAAAAAUCUAUUUUUUUGACUCCACACAAGUAGAAUAAAUAUAUAAUAUGAUAUGCUUUAGUAUAAAGUUUUUGCUAUAAAGGUUUUGUACUUUUCUUUUAUUUAUUUAUUUGGCUGAAUCUUUAAAAAAUCAUAGUAAAACAUAAAAAAAUCAUAAAAUAAAAAAUAUAUUUUUCUUAGACUCCACAUGAGUAUAUAUGCAUAAUGAACAUACUAUAUUAUAUGUUCACUGUGUAGUUACUUAUGUAGAGUCCAACAAAAUUGGAUUUUCUAUUUUAUGAUUUUUCAGUGAUUUACUAUGAAUUUUCAAAUAUUCAACCGAAAUAUUUUUUUUAAAAAAGACAAAACCACUGUUACUGUAGCAAAACCGCCUUCGAAACCGCUCUAGGGAGGUAAAAUGCACGGUUUGAAAAGUUUAGGGGGGUGAUUUGUUCGGUUUUGGAGCUGAGAGAGGAAAAACGAACUUUCGUGAAAGUUGAGGGAGGAAAAGUAAACUUUCGUGUAAGUGUGUGUGUCCGCGUGAAAUUUCUAGUUUUGGCAUGAUGCAUAGUAUGUCUUAGAGGCACUUCUCCCAUGAAAUUUGUGUUAUGAUUUCACAGAAAAUCUUCGCUAGAUGGCUGUUGUUUAAUUAUAAUAAUGCAUCUGAGGCCUUGUUUAGUUGGCAAAAUGAAAAGUUUUCGGACACUGUAACACUUUCGUUUGUUUGUGGCAAAUAUUGUUCAUUAUGGACUAACUAGGCUCAAAAGAUUUAUCUCACGAUUUACAUACAAACUGUAUAGUUAGUUUUUGUUUUUGAUUAUAUUUAAUGUUUCAUGCAUAUGCCGCAAGAUUCGAUGUGACAGUGAAUCUUGAGAAGAGAGAGAGAGAGAGAGAGCGCAUCUGUAACACGUACUUCCCCAGUAUGCAGUACUGUACUAUAGAUAAAUUGAACCUCUCUAACAACGCACGCUAUAAAAUGCGUCGAGGGUGAUACUGUACUAGUCAGUAUGCGUCUGAGUACACUGUAACGAGGUCUCCAUGGUUCUGCUAUGUUUUGGAGUAUAGUUUGCAGAUCCAUUCGAUGACCGGAUCGAUGUGUAGAUCGAUCGAAACACAUGACAUCUUGUGCUACACAACUACAAUACUACGUACAGUACAACGGUGGCGUGCCUGAUGCGCAACUGAGCAUUUGCCGGUCGAAGCUACUGCUUCGUACUAACAAGUGUACAACGAUCCACAGUAACAGAACGGGAGUACCGACACUGUAGACAGUAUGUGCAAGUGCACUCCUGUCAAGUACUCACUCCCCUCUCUUUCAUGUACAUGCACCCUUUUUUUUGAAUCUCAAGUACAUGCACUUUACCUUCGUCAGCAAAAAGCUCAACGUCAAGUUUAAUUAGGAAAUCACGCUAUAAAGUUUGAUCAAAGUUAUAGUAAAUAAUAUUAGGAUUUAUGUUUUCAAAUAAAUUUAUUGUAUAUUCAAUAACUAAUUUAAUUGUAUUUAUUUUGUCUCAUAGAUGUUAGUACUUUUUCAUAUAAUUGUCUUGUCCCAAAUUAAACGUCAAGUUUUAUUUAUUUACUGGUAGUAAAAAAACCCCAAUGCUUUCUUUUAUCUUGCCUGAACCAGUUGCAAUUCUUUCGCUCUAGAAAAACUGAAAGUUGAGCAUGAGCUCUUGUUGCAUGCAUUCGCUGAAUGAAGAAGGUAAUUAUACACCCAACAUGAACAGGCCAACAACCUCGAACCUGAAGUCUGGUUUCCAAUGGUCCCAACGAUAGAUUUUUCAACUUUUGAAACCUUACCAACUUCCCCCUUUGUUCAUGCAUGUUACCUUUAACCCAGGGUACUGAGAUGUGUUUUGUUUGGCCUCUACUACCCAAGAAAACUGCAGACACUCCAAACCCCCUUAAAAGGCAAGUUUGUACACAUCUGCUGUUGCAAAUCUUGUGAGCAGGUAAAUACGUACCAACCAUGCAUUUUGGGUUUCGGUUUUUGGAUCCCUUGCUACUAGCUGUCUCUGUCUGGGUGUGCACACAGAGCAGUGUCCACCAUGCAUACAUGCAUGUGACUACCUCUGCAUGACUGGUUUUUGUCUUGCACUUGCAGAACCUCUAGAAUACUCGGCAUGGAUUUGAAUGCCGCAGCAAUCUUACUCCAAGACUGAGACUGCUAUAAGUCAUUAUGAUUAAUUUCAUGCAAAUGCAAGUAUACAUUGGUCAUCAAUCUCUCCCUGAUCCACACACACACCUUGCUAAAUGCUAAUGCUAGCUACCUAGCUAUCUACAUACACAAUCCUUUGAUGACAGUUAGCUGAUGGCAUGAUUGGGUGCUCAUACUUUUCCUUGUGUCCAUCUCCAAAUGAUUGAGUUUUUCCCAGUGGAUGACAUGUAGCUUUCACACCCCUGGAUAAGCCUCCAUAAGUGGAGAGCAAGCAGGGUCCUCAGUCCUCACACCAACCUCCAUCGUCUAUCCCAGCACUCCAGCAGCUGUGACUGUGACCACCACACACAUUGCCAUGGCAUGCACAUGGAUGGCGAGAUGAUCCCAGCAGCCCCUCAUCAGCUGCAUGCCGUGGCUGUGACAUGUGAAGAUGAGACUGAAGAAGGACCAUGCAAGGGACCUCUGCUCACCAUAUGCAUCAUGCUGUAUGGUACAGUACUAGCCACUAGGAGCAGCCUUUUUGGAGGACAAACAUUGCUGCAUUAUUGUUUGUGUCUCCUCUCCUAGGCCCUCUUGUACGUAGUUGUAGCCACUGCCCAUCGACAAACGCCAUAAAAUGCCUGCUCCCGGGCUCGGCCACAUAUGCCUGACUUUCAGCUGCCAAUGUGUGUUUUUGUUUCGUAGCAUUUGCAUGCCACUGUAAAUUUGACUGCACGCUUUACACAAGAUUCCAAAUUAAACAUCAUCAAACUUUUGAAUAUGAUAUGCUGAAGCGUCAAGAUGCGGACACUGACUGAAGUGACUUUUUUCAGAAAUUCUGUGAGAAAUCCUUGGCCUGAACCCUGAAGGGGAGAAAUAAACGAUUGCAUGAUGACCUUCCUUAAAACAAGAGCCCCAGUUAUGUGACUUAUUAUUACUUGGCCAGCAACCAAAUGGGAGAUAAACCGAGUUGCUUGUCAUGUCAUUUCACAGUAAUUUUGAUCCAAAUCAUGCACGGUCCACCCAUGGUAGUAGUGGUAGGGCAUGGGCUAUGAUUUUGUGGACACAAGUGAUUUGGCGACGUUUUAUCACAAUUUGUGCACUUGAGAUAGAUCAUGCAUGGUGCCUACGUAAUUAGGUUAUGAUUCCCCUUUAAUUUGAACCCAUAGGAAACUUAAAGAUGCCCCCUUUCCCCUUGUUGUGGUUGAUGAGCAACGCAUUUGCAUGAUGGGAGAUACUGUUUUUUCUUAACAGGACCAACACUGCUGCAGAAAUGAUUGAUUGUUAUUUACUCCGUAUAGCACUUGCAAGGAGCAGGCAUCAUUAAGUUCGUUCUCAUUUAAAAUGAAAAGCGGUAAGUGCGUGCUUAAUUUAUUAGAAGAAAUGGAAAUCUCACCUGCAGUGGAUUAGUACAUGAUGACACUGCAGCCGUCUACAAUCGAUGCAGCCUGCAUUAGUACUUGCUGUAUCUUUUUCCAAGCUUAAUAAAAAUAAUUCCUGCCAGUAAUUCGUACCAUAUAAUACUUAUUAUAUUCUUGUUCCUUUUCCUGACAACCUAUAUAGAGAUCCCUAGCAUAUAUGGUGCCCUGUAUUUCUUUCAUUUUUAUUCCCAGUGUGUUGCAGCCUUGCCAUCAGAAGUUGGCGGCAGGAAAGAUCAAAGGGUACACUUUUUGGGCUUGGCAUGGGGUGGACAAAUCUACCAGCUAGGCUACUGUGAGCAAACAAAGCAACCGGGCAGCAGCCCAUGUGAGGCUGAUGGGGGUGUGCAAUGCCAUUGCCAAUGCAGAGGGAUCCUUGAUCUCCCUCCUUUCUUGCGUGUCAAAGUGACGUGGGCUCAUGUGACGGUGCAUGGGAGAAACACAUAUACUACUACUUUCUGGGCAAAGUGCGUGGCCUGGCUGAAAAUGCAUGCAUGACAAAAGCGUCUUUUGUGGAAAGGCGUAUGUUUGGGGCUUUAUGGUUUAUCACAGGCCUCCCUCCCCCUCCCCCCCCCCCACCCCCCCCACCCACCACGACCACUACACACACACACAAACAAACAAAGAUGAACUUAGUGAUUUGGAAUACUAACAGUGAAUUUUUCAUGAGUGCCAACAUCAUGAAUCAUACAAGAUGGCUUCACUCAGGUAUGUUGAUGGAGCAUCCUUAAAUAAUUCUGAUGGUUGUGGUAUUAUUGGUGGCCUCUAAAAGUUGCAUCAAUUGGUGAAAUGUUGGUGAUGGUACAAUCAUUUAUGUUGUUGAGGAAGUGCAAUAAUACGGUUAUGUUAGUUGAGGGGUGUGUGGCCAGUGACCAGCUAGCACAAACCUAUUCGUUGGUCCGAAAAGUCAUGAUUGAAAAUAUUGUUCACUGAUUUAUUAUGAAAGAAAAAUACUGUUAGCUGGCAGAAAAGGUACGGCUUAUAAGACAAGCGAACAGGCUUGCGUGAAUAAUUACAAUUACUUAUUAUGAAAGAAAAAUAUUGUUGGCUGGCAGUAAAAGUACGGCUUAUAAGACAAGCGAGUAGGCUCGUGUGAAUAAUUACAAUUACGUAGAGAAAGGUGAUUCAAUUUAAACAAGGGAGGUGAGCAAGAGAUGCCAUGCAUUCAAGUUUUUAAACGCAGGUUGCAUGAAAAGUUGGGAUAUUGCAAUUGCAAUCUCCUUUAUGUGAGAGAAUGAAUUCCACCUGGUCCAUUUGUUAUGCAUAAGGGACGGCUGCUGCUGCUUUUUCUUUUGAUGGAACGCAUGCAGUGCAGCUUCUGGAACAAGCAAAACAUAAGACAAAGCAUCUGAAGAGUUUCAGGCGCAAGUUCGUGGCAUCUUGACUAAACGCUACUUUGUGAUGCAUGAUCGGAUGACUAAUUGUGUACUAUCUAUAUUAAUAUUUACUUUUAUAUAUGUAGUUAAAGUUUAAAAUAUAUACUUAUUAGAGAGUGAGAAUGACACACCUUUUAUUGGACAAAAGAAUAGAAGACAUUAAUAGGUAUAUAUGACAAUUUGUUAUUAUAUUCUUCUACUAAAUAUAAAUAAAAAUUAUAAGAUUGUACUUAUAUAUAAAAAAUAAAAAUUAUUUUCUUAGCCCUAAAUAAAGUGUUGCCUAGAGUCUUGGCGGCCCUUUUUUCUUGAACUUGCUUAUUUGACCCUAAUAAAACUUUAGUUUCUUGGGCCUUCCAUUAGUUUGGUAGGCUAACGGUGCUAAUUAAGUUGUACGUACACGAAUCGACUCUUUUUUUAGUUGCUUUAGUUUGCACCUUAAUCUCUUUCGCCGUAUGAACUCCCAAAAUCGACCAAAAUUGACGAAUUUUGCAUCUCCUCUCCCCCCUUUUCCAUUGUCAUCCGUAUCAUCUUUAGAUUGCAACUUGAUCAAAUUCGUUGAAAUUUUUAGCUGAUUCUCUAUCCUGUCAACCAUUUCCGGCCGCUUCCAUCUCAAACGAAAGCCUUGUUUAGUUUUAAAAAUAUUUUAGAUUUCGGUACUAUAGCAUUUUUGUUUUUAUUUGACAAAUAUUAUCCAAUUAAUUAUGAACUAACUAGACUCAAAAGAUUCAUCUCAUGAUUUAUAGUCAAACUGUAUAAUUAGUUUUUGUUUUUGUCUAUAUUUAAUGUUCAAUGCAUAUGCCGCAAUAUUCAAUAUAACAGAGAAUUUUGAAAAGUUUUUGGGUUUUGGGGUGAACCAAACAAGGCUGAAUUCAGAUAUGAUUCUAUCUCAAAUGCUGCGCCACGAUGUGCUCAGAGCUUUGUUGAUGAGCGGUGGCUGGCUGUGCAGUCUCGAUGCUCGCCUUCGUGGCUUGGCACUUGCGUCCUCGCUCGCCGCCACUGCUGCCCUCUGCUAAUUCUAUGGGUGACCGCAGCUAAUCGCUAACCCGUGGAAGCCGUGUAACCCGCGGGUUCCAAACCGUAGAAACAGAGACAUUAUGGGUUAGGUUGGUUUUUUUACCCACAAACCACAUAAACUGGACCAUGCACAGGCUUACAUCAAAGUACACCCACUUGAAAACCCAACCAUCAGCAGACUUGCCCGCACAUGAGAAUUAUUUGAGGCCAUUUGUACAAAAUUCAAACUAUGGGAAGUCGAAUCUAGCUCUACGGAUGCUAACCAGGUGCUAUAACCACUACGCUAGACACCCUCGGCAGCACACACAUAUUUGAAGAUAUAUAUAAGUCUUAUUUUUCCUUCUUAUUAAAUAGAGUAGUAAGAUUACAUAAGGUAUAUACUAAGAGUUACCUAAUUUGUAUCAAUACAAUUAAGUCUAUAUAUACACUUAAGUAAACUUUGGUGCCUCAAAAAUUUUCGAGGCAUGUAGUUGUAGUGUCAUGACACUUGCGCUACGCAGUAAACUGGCCGCCAUAGUAGAUGGAUGUUCCUAAUGUCUUGAGACCUAGGAUUUUAUAAACAUAGGAAUAGAAAAAAACGUGAGAAUAGUGAAAGGUCCUUGUUUGGUUUUGGUAAUUGAGUGACAACUUAGGUGGACUAAUAGUAUUUAUGUGAGAUACACAGGAGAUUAGUCCACAGGUGAUUAUGUGAAGAUGAAGGAGCUCAUUGCAUAUGAGACAUGACAUGGAGUCAUGUGACCAAGGUGGAGAAGAUCAAGAUGAGGCUUGGCUUGAUGGACCGGUUGCAAGAGUGAAGGGCAAGUCGGAGGCUUUGAAGCGAGGGACCGCGUGUGACGGUGAAGCUUGAGCAAGACUUGGCGCCGAUGGACCGAGGCAACGGUGAAAAGCAAGUAAGGUCAAGAUCGAUGAACCAAUACGGUCACGUGAUGAUAUGAAGUGGAUCAUAUCAUUUGGUGAUUGGUUGGUGCAUGUGUUGCAUCAACAUUGGAGGAGAUGAAAUGAAAUGCGCAAGGCAAAGGUAUAACCUAGGGCAUUUCCAUUUCACCGGUCAUAGGUGUGUAGAGAAGUUUAUGACCGGAUUUAGGAUAGAUGGCCGUACUAUCAAGAGGGGCAAACUUGUUUGCAUAUCGGUCAUCUAGUGCCACUUGAGCGAUCUAACUUUACAUAUGUGUUAGGAUCGAGUGGCGUGGCAAGUUGAGAGGCUAACUCCUUUGGGAAAAUGUUUGUGAAAAUGCUAACACACAUGCACGUGGUGGUUUACACUUGGUGGUGUUGGCACAUUUUCAAAGGAGGUGGAGUUCCUAGGGUUGAGAGGGGUGUGGGUUCCUCUCUCCCUUCCGCCGAGCUUGCGAGGCGGGAUUAGGCGCUUUUGAGAAAAUUAGGUGUAUAUUUUCUAUUGCGCCGAUGGGAAAUUUGGAGAAGUCGCGGGAGUGUUUCUCUGUUGGAAACACUCACCGGACGCUGAGCAAAGGCACCGGACGCUGGCCUUUAGCGUCCGGUGUGCUGUCGGGUGUAGCAGAGUGCACCGGACGCACCGGAGAGAGUCCGGUGCCCAGCGUCCGGUGUUAGGGCGUUUUGCUACCCUCUCUGCGCAUGAGUCCGGUGAGCACCGGACGCUCAGGGUGCGUCCGGUGGCUUGCGUCCGGUGACCGUGCGAGUUUGCGGAUCUCUCUGCGCACGAGUCCGGUGAGCACCGAACGCGUCCAGUGUAACGCAGUAGAGCGUCCGGUGGUGCUGAGCUGGCACGCGUGCGCAGUAGCCGUUGGCGGCAACGGUCGAGUUCAAACGGCUAGUGACACGUGGCUGACGCCUGAGCACCGGACGCUGGGGGUUGAGCGUCCGGUGGCUCCCUGUGAGCGUCCGGUGCCCACGUGUUUUGCCCAGUGAAGGGGCAACGGCUAGUUUAGCCCUUGGGGCUAUAAAUAUAAGUGGUGGCCGGCCUUGGCUGGUGCUGAGCACCCUUGGGACUUAGUGUCCAUGCUUGGGGAGUGCUAGCAAAGCCUCUAACUCACAUAUGCUUGAUAGUGAUCAUCCGAUUGUGUGAGUGAGCGAUUCUAGUGCGUUGCAUUGAGAGAUUGCAUCGAGUGGCACUAGGUGUUCGUGUUGCAAGCCGGUGGUGCUUGUUACUCUUGGAGGUUGCCACCUCCUAGACGGCUUGGUGGCUUGUGACUCCGUCGAAGCACGCAAGGAGAUUGUGCGGUGCUCCGGAGAAGAGAUUGUGAGGGGUACGGUGCUCACCCCGCGGGGAUCGCGAAGAGCAACUCUAGUUGAGCGAGACGUGAAGAGCGACAAGUGGUCCGGCCGGGUUAAGUGCUAGAGCUUGUGGUAAGCACUCCACGUGGGAGAGUGUGACUUGCGGGUCACCACUAGCAAGAGGACCGGCGGCAACCUUGGAGCUUGUCUCAACGGGGACGUAGCUUGGUGGCAACCAAGUGAACCUCGGGAGAAAAUCAUCGUGUCAACUUUGUUCUUUCCGUUGGUUUGCAAGUCCCUAACACAAGCUUGUAUUUACAUUCAUAUAUUUAUGCUUGUGUAGUUGCUCUUGUAAUUAGUUAGCUUGUGUAGCUUGCUAGUUACCUUCUUGCUUGUGUAGCUAGAAGUAGUUCCCUUGCGUGACUAAUUUGGUUUGUGUAACCUUGUUAGUCACAUUGCUUAGUUUGUGUAGCUAAGUAAGUUGCGCUCUCUAAUUUGGCAUUAGUUGCCUUGUUAUUGAGCUUGCUAGUGAGCUUAGGCUUUGUGCGCUUUGCGUCACUAGUUUGAGUAGGAGCUCCCUCGGUUUGCAAAGUACUAGUUGCAUAGGUUUGUGUGACCUUGCUUCUAGAUUUGGUUAGGUGAGCUCUUGCUAAGGUAGCACCUUGCUUGCUUGUUUAGGAUCUUUUCAAGGUGCUAGAGAACUUAGAUAGAGGGGUGUAGUCUUGGCUAGACCGAUAGUUUUAAUUUCGCAUUUGUUUUCGGUUAGCCGGCAUAAUAAAUUUUAGAAAGAACUAUUCACCCCCCUCUAGUCCGCCAUCUCGACCCUUCAAAUAGAAUACUCUAACACCAUAAAUCUUGUGAAUUUUGAGAAUACAAAAAAAAACUACUAUACUGAAUGUUCAGAUAGAGCACAGAGAAAAAAAAUUACAUGAAUAGUGACGCAAAAAAAAACUUUCAUGUUAAAAAUUCCUAUAAAACAAGCCAUUCCAUGAGAAUUUUAUAGGAUUUGUAGUGAGGAACAAAUCAUUUGUUCCAGUGCAAAGAGUUUUAUAUAUAUAAAGAAAUAGUUGUUGUACAGGAUUUCAAUCCUCUAGUUGUUCCAAAGUGAAAGCUGAAAUUCUAUAUAGCUCUGCCUGCU
RNAcentral lists this long non-coding RNA (54418 nucleotides) under Sorghum bicolor (sorghum). Its description in RNAcentral is "long non-coding RNA (SBIC_LNC002023)". The stretch from base 26305 to 26424 matches the Rfam family "U5 spliceosomal RNA". The record is from RNAcentral. Lineage: Eukaryota; Viridiplantae; Streptophyta; Magnoliopsida; Poales; Poaceae.